This 50097-nucleotide long non-coding RNA is filed under the name Solanum tuberosum (potato). Its description in RNAcentral is "long non-coding RNA (STUB_LNC004345)". The record is from RNAcentral. Lineage: Eukaryota; Viridiplantae; Streptophyta; Magnoliopsida; Solanales; Solanaceae.
GUGGAUGGUCAGGGUGACAUUUUUGUUGGAUUUCAGGAUGCUGUAGAAAGAUUGUUGAAAAUUGUUUUUAGUUACUGCAGUAAACUUUAGUAUAAGAAGUUGCUAGGUUUAAGAUUUUUGAAUUUUAAAUUAUGAAAUUUUUUUGUUUAAGUUGGUUACUUCCAGUUGUUUUCUUUUCUCAAAUCUCUCCAAGUAAGGAUAAAGUCUGGAUACAUACUACCUUUUUCAGACCCCACUUAUAGGAUUACGUUGGGUAUGUUGUUGAAGUUUUCACUAGUUCAAAUUAAAUGUCAUUGUAAUAGGCUCAUAGCUUUUAUACCUUUAUAAAGGUUGCUCAUUUGAUCCCAAGAUCCAAAUAAGGCUACAAAGUCAAUGUCUUAGUACUUGGUCGAAUAAGUGUAUCUUAAGAUCAUCCAGUUAACAAUCAAAGACACUGACAAUCAGAAUAUCCUCUAUGCACAAUGCAGCUAUGUAAUAAAGCUCACAACUCGAUUAAGGCUGCAACAUGUAAUUUGUUUUGUUUAUUUUAUGACACGAGAUGAAAUCAUGCAUCUACAAGCAUAUUCAUACUGAAUUUCAUGACUACUUCAGAGUUCUUAGCAUAUCUUCUCACAAAGACGAAUGGUUAUAGCUGAGGCAGAAGGCCAUCAUAAUUUAGGUAUCCUAUGUUCAAAAUUCUACAAAACUUGAUGAAUGGCACACCGGUAAAUUGCAGUCAGACUGUCGAGACAUAAAAUUGGUCUCCAGCAGUCCAAGCCAUUACAUUUGCGGGAAGAAAUGGAUUUUUCAGAUCAGAACUAUUUCCGCUAUCCUACUAAGCCUGAAGUUUGAGCAGAAACUAACAUCAGCUGAUGAUCAUCUUGCUCAAGAAUUCAGCUUGCUUGGGAAAGUAUUCCAACAGUUCAUCUUUGGUCACCCAGACAAAAUCAUCACAUUUUCUAAUAUCAAAUUUGUUGGCUGCAAUAACUUGGGAUUUGAAGAAGAAGCGCUGCCACAAUAAAUAUAGAAUAUAUACAUAAGAAGCACAAACUUUGCAGAAGCUAUCAGGGAAUUUCUCUCCCUCACUCCCUGUGGGAUGACAGAAUUUCUUACUGUCCUUUUCUUCAAUACUUUCAAUAAUUAAAAUUUACAUACCUUGAUUGACGGGAUUUUCUUGUCUUCAGUGGGUUGCGUGACCAUAUGACCCAUAGGGGCAUUUCCAACAAAAUAUGUAUGUGAAAGAUCUCCAAUGAAAGAUUCUAGGGCAGACUCAGCACACUGCAAAUAGUUGCAACUUAUAUUUCAUUUUUCUAACCAUAAUUACUAAAUCACCAAAGAAAUGGACUGAAUAAAUGCUAUUUACCUUGCGCAAAUUCUCUUCAGACUCAUAAACUUUUUCAGGGAAAUGCCAGACAGGCUUUCCACUACCUUGUGUGGUACCAUGGACUAGAAGAUAGAGUCUCCUGUCUAGUGCUCGAUGUAAUGACCUUAUGCAUAUCAACAAAACUUCAUAAUCAGUAACAUGAAAUACUAACCAGCAGAAGGAAACAAAACCUUUGAAUGUCUGUUGACAUAUUAUUCAUGUUCAGGAAUAUGCAAAGGUUUUGUAUAGGGUUAGUACCUUUUAGCGAAUUUUGACCAAGUGAUAAGUUGAAGAACAGACGCAAGCUUUAUUUUGUGGGGUAGAGCGGGUGAAGAAGGCAUAUAAAGGGGGAGGGGGGGGGGGGAAGGCAACAGUAGGCUCUCCAUUCCUAAUAUUAAAUACUUGCACAAUGCGCAAUUAGACAAAUCUCAUGUAACUAACACAUCAAUUACUUCGAGACAAUAUUAAGGCAUUUCAACAUCAAAAAUUUAGUUAUGGUAAACAAUUAGAAGUCAAUAAUCAUCUAUUGUCAGGAAAUACGAGUCUGCUGAACUUAGGUAAAGCAACUCUUGAAAGAAAAAUAUAUUCUAGUGCAAUGUCCAUAUUCAAAUUCUUGUAUAAUGUUUGACAAAAGUUAGAAGUCCAAGCUUUGGUACCUUUGAUCAUUAGUCUUAUCUGCUUCUGAGAUUCGAGGAGCUGGUUUAUAAUCAAUUUGAUAAUCACCUUUUCCCCUGCAUGUAAAAUAUAGAUGUAACCGUGCCACUGGACCAUGUGACAUUUGACACUAGACAGAACAGUAUGUGAUAGCAUGUUCAAGAAGAACCAUGUACAUAAUUAAUGGCUAAUAAGGAAGAAUGCAUGAAAGAAAAGGCAAUAAUACUACACAAGCCAAGGAGUAAAAAUCAGUUGGGUCAUACUGCUAAAAGAGGGGACAGUGUUUACUCUCCAACAUGUGUACUGUUGCAUGAAGAGAUCUCAAUUUCUUAAACUGUGAUCUAUGAAAUUAGGCCAUUUUUACCAUCAUGUACUUUUUCUGAAAUGAAAGUAAAGUUUUUAAAUUGUAAAUGGUCUAAGAUAGUAAUGCUCACUGCUCAGCACCAAAGGGUAUUCUCCAAGUUACAGAAACCAAUUUCGCAAGACCAAGUUACUUCAGAAAGCUAGAUAGUCAAGAGUAAAAUAUUGGUAAAAUAAGGAAAACCUUGAAAUAUCUCCAUGAUUGUGUCAUUAGUUUUCGUGGGACAUAUUGAAUGUGUUUUAUUUAGUAUUUCGGACAGGUUCCAUGCCUGUUGCAAUGAGCUCUUUUUCCUCAACUGUUUUACCCACUUCUUUAUUCAGUUGUGAGUACAAAUCCUUCCUUUUAACUGUUAAUGGUAGUUUAAAAGAGAACUUGACCUAGAAAGAAUAUUUUCCCAGAUUUUCAAAUUCAGGAGUUCUGAAAACUAGCAAAAUACUUCUAGUGCUGGAUUCCAGAACUUAAAGUCUUAAACCAUCUAAGGAAAACAAAAAAGCACUAAACUACAAACGUAAACAAGGAGUUACUAAUAUUUAUUUUACAAAAUUUAUCACCCAUCCAAAUUUUGAACUUAUGGUUUAUUUCUUGGUUAUUUUCUUUAUCAUGGACGGCAUCAACCCAUGCUGCUCAUACCCUUUUGUAAUCACUGUAUGCAGAACAGAGAUGAUUCUUCCCUGAAGAAAAUUCACCAGUACUUACACCAAGAUCUCUCAUUUAGACAAACUCUAUUUCUAGAGUAAAGAAGAAUGCUCAGAAAAUCUUCAAAACUUUUCGACUUUUAAGCGCUCUUCAUGCUAUUAAACUCCUAAAGCAAUUUCACUGGUCUAUUAUGUUUUAACUUAUUUCAUGCAUCCUAUGCACACUCUUCAUACCAUUCAUCAGUUAACAUUUCAUAAAUGAAGAUACAUAAUUCACAAAAAGAGGUAUUAAAUGGCAAGGUGUAAUUCAAGCAAUGCAACAGAAAUGUACCUGGUAUCAGACUUCUUCAGAAAACUUUCUGGAUACUCUCACCGAUAUUGCUGCCUCCAACAAAACCUAUAAAAGAAAUUAAUAAUAAAAUUAUUGCAAUCAACUAAACACCGAUUACGUUAAACAAUCAUCUACAUUGUCAUUCGCCAACUCUUAUUCAUGAACCUUUGCUCUUUUAUCCUUCUCAUUUCUCCUUUUGCUGGCAUCUUAGUUACCAACACAUUCUAUAACCUCAUUAUUCUCAACUUCAUUACACAUUUAUCUCCUAGCAUUAGAAACCACUGCAAAAUUUUGGACAAAAGAAACUCUUUUCUUUCUUAGAUAUACUUCAUCAAACUUACAAAAUAGCGAAGAUUCAUAAAUUUGACCUGACUAAUUUGGGAUUGAGGCAUAAUUAUUGUUUUUUAGUACUAUUUUUCUCAAGCAAACAUAUCAAAGUACCCCUUAAUCCCUAAUUAACCAUCACAGUUUCUGGAAAGCGAAAAAAAUAAUUUUGAUCAUUCUAUUAUACGAACCAGCAUUUAUAUGAUUUAGGAACGAUAGUACACCCGUAUAAGCUAAUGAACUUAUUGCUCAUCAUUGUAAUUGGAUUACAAAAGGCUUGAUUACAUUUCGAUUUCGUGCAACAAUUGAACAGAAAAAGAAAAUCUUACGAAAAUUCUUGAAAAGCAUAUACAGUAGGAUUGAUUGUGGGAACCACUACCGGUAAUCUUUCGAAGAGCACUGAAGCGACAAUUUUAUCAUUGUUGGAUGAAGAAAACCAUCGUUUACCUAUCGCAGAUCGACCCGCAGAUGAACAGCACCUCUGCAUUUUCAUAAACCCUAGAAACCCAAAUUCCACAGUACUGACAGGGAAUUGAAAUUUCUCGGGUUGAAAUUUAUGGGCUUGGGAUUCAGAUUGGAAUUUAUGGGCUUGGGACUUGGGUUGAAGUAUGAAAUUUCAAUAAAGAUUAUUAAACUUAUCUAUUCUUUAAGUAUUGAUUUUUCAGCUUAUAAACACUUUUAGUUUGAUCAAUCGUUGUAUUAUUGUAUCUCUACCAUAUUUUAGUAUUGCUUGAUCCAAAGGCGGUGAAAUUUUCAUCUGUUGCGUGAAGUAUAUAUUAUUUUCAUAUUGCUUUUAUUGCAUAUUUUAUUGUAAAGCUUAAAUAAUUUUCAUUUCAUAUUCAUGUAUUGAUUCAGUUGAGUUGCUUUCGGUCCUUCAGUUCAUGUAUUGAUUCAUGUAUUAUUUGUUAAUUCAAUUGAGUUGUUUUCCGUCCUUCAGUUCAUGUAUUGAUUCAUGUAUUAUUUAGGGGAGAGCCAGAUGGUCAUAAAUACAAGCAAUAUGGUUCCGAAAGAGGUCAGAAACUUAUUUUUCGAUAUGAAUUUCAAGUAUGGAGAACCAAGGUUCAGCGGGAGAAUUCUAUCUCUUAGCCAUCAAUGAGAGUUAAGAUUCUUCCUUGGAAUGUAAAUCAAUGGGGGUUGAUGUCAUAGUUUUAGUUGAGACAAAACUCAAGAGAUCAAUCGAUAACAUAUUGCAGAGCAUAUGAAGCAACAAAUUGAUGGGGGGUAAUUCAGAAAAAAGCUCAAGGGAGCAGUGGGGCGUAUUAGUUCUAUGGAACAAAAGAGUUUGGAAUGGGGAUAAUGUGUUUUGUUAAGUAUAAGUAUCAAUACUAGUUGAUCCUAUUGAUGACAAAAUUGAUUUUCUUGUAAGAUCAGUUUGUGUCCAUCUAGUGUUGACACUUAGUGUCACGCCCCGAGCCUACAUCCUGGUGUGUUGGAUAUUAAUUGCCCUGAGUUUCUUACCAUAAAUAGGUUUUCCUUUUGGGAAAAGGUUUUAAUAUUUGGCUAAUCCUUUUCUUGUAGAAAAAGGUUUAGGACUCUAUAAAUAGAGGUUUGUUUCUUCUAACUUAAUCUGUAUGCACAAUAUAGUCCUAGAGUUUUGAGAGUUCCAGUUAUGGGGGAGAAUUUGUGAACCUCCUUGUAUUCCGAGUGAAUUGACUGAGGUUGUUUCUCUCUAUAUUUUGUACUUUCAUUUAUUUAGUGGAUUGUUCAUCUCCUUUGUGGAUGUAGGUCGAUUAAUCGAACCACGUUAAAUCUGUGUCUUUUGGUAUAUUUCUCGUUUGUCUUCUUACUCGUGGUCUUUUGAAGUUUGUUUUGCUAGUUUCCGCAUGACACCUAAUUAUUUUCGAUCCUAACACGAUGAUGCAACAAGUAAGGCAUAUUGCUUGUAUUUUGAGCAUUGGUCACUAAACCUCAAAUCGUUUUGUUUGUUUUCCAACUGGAGCUAGGUAGGAUCGAGAGGAUUCAUUUGUGGAAAAUUAUUAGUCUCGUCAAUGUUUCAGUUCUUUGAGAAAUCACCAAUUCCAAACAAAAUUUGUUUUCAGCAAAUCAAUUUUGAGAUCUUGACCUUCAAGCUCUAACAAAAUAUUUAUGGAACAACCUCCCAGGCUGAAUUCGAAUUGAUUUGUGCUGACUUAUCGAAUAUUUUAUUUCUUCUCUUCAAAGUUACAAAACGCAUCUUCAAAUUGAGAAGUUAUGUUCAUCAUAUUUUUUCCUAUAGAUUCCCUAAACAAGGAUAAUUAAAAAGAAAAAGAAAGGUAUUUAUUAUUUAAAGAUUAAAUUUGAACAUACUAAAUUUAAAAUUUCUCAUUUUACCUUUAAUAAUAUGAUUUUAUGACCACAUUGAUAUCAUGAAAAUUUAAAACCGUAUAUUUUAAAAAUCUUCUAGUCCUGAUGAAAUACCUAGUCAAACAUGUUUCGAUAAAAUAAAGCAAAUGGAAUAUAAUUAAUUAGCUAAAAGUGAUAUAGGUGGAGGAACAAUUAAACCAACUCUUUCGAAUAAUAAAAUUUAAUCUAAUAUGAUAUGUCUUUUUAAAUAAAGUAUAAAGUACGGAAAUAUCUUGAUAAUUGCCUAGGGGAUUUAUUGCCGAGGGCCUUUUUGAAACAGCAUUUACUUCCCCGAGUUAGUGGUACGAUUUAAAUACAUUUUGCCCUUUUCAGACCCCAAUUGUAGGGUUUCAUUGGGAAUGUUGUUGUUGUUUGCCCCGGGGACUUGUGCCUUGGGACAUAAUUUCUUGUCUUAACACACAACUUGUGCCAAUGAAGCAGUGGCGUAGCCACAUAUAGCUUAGGGUGUUUGAUCAGACAUCUUUCGUCCAAAAAUUACCAAGGGCCUUUCUGAAACAACAUUUACCUCCACGAGGUAGUGGUACGGUUUGCAUACAUUUUGCCCUUUUCAAAUCCCAAUUGUAGGGUUUCAUUGGGUAUGUGUUGUUUCCCCUGGGGACUUGUGUCUUGGGACAUAAUUUCUUGUCUUAACACAACUUGUGCCAAUGAAGCAAUGGCGUAGCCACAUAUAACUUAGGGUGUUUAAUCGGACAUCUUUCGUCCAAAUAUCGUACAUAUAUAUUAAAUCUUGAACGGCAACUUUUGGCUUGGCCAGUACACUGAGCAUAAUUUGUGUGAUGCAAUUUUAAAUUCUUGGCCUGCAGUUAGUAGAGAAUAUAUACUUUUCUUUACCAUUAACCUCAAACUCUAUCAUCUUUCUACUUUAACACUUUUUCCCCUAUCGGAUUUUUGAAGCUUUAAAUACUGAAUUCCAUCAUAACAAUAUUCAUCACUUAUCAAACUCUCAAUCUACUGCUUCAACUUUUUUCAAAAAAUAUUAACUUCCAUACACCUACCCCUUUUUUUCCAAUAAAAAAUAUGGCUGAUGCCUUUGUGUCAUUUGCAGUUCAAAAAUUGAGUGAUUUCCUAAUACAACAAGUUUCUCUGAGAACAAAUCAGAGAGAUGAAAUUAGAUGGCUGAGAACUGAGCUACUUAUCAUACAGGCAUUCCUCAAAGAUGCAGAACAAAAGAAAAGUGGAGAUCAUAGAAUUCAACAAUGGGUGUUUGAGAUCAACUCUAUUGCUAAUGACGCUGUUGCUAUACUCGACACUUACAGUUUCGAGGCUGGUAAACGUGCUAGUCGUCUCAAGGCUUGCGCUUGCAUAUGUAGGAAAGAGAAGAAAUUCUACAAUGUCGCCAAGGAGAUUCAAUCACUCAAGCAACGAAUCAUGGAUAUCUCUCGCAAACGAGAUACUUAUGGUAUUACAAAUAUCAAUAGUAAUGCUGGAGAAGGGUCAAGUAAUCAGGUUACAACAUUGAGGAGAACUACCUCAUAUAUAGAUGAUGAUGACAUUUUUGUUGGCUUUCAGGAUGUUGUACAAACAUUGCUAGCUGAACUUCUCAAAGUAGAGCCUCGUAGAAGCAUCGUCUCCAUUCAUGGAAUGGGCGGAUUAGGCAAGACCACUCUUGCAAGAAUCCUCUACAACAGUCCUAAUAUAGUCUCAAGCUUCCCUACACGUGCUUGGAUAUGUGUUUCUCAAGAGUACAACACAAUGGAUCUUCUUAAGACUAUCAUAAAAUCCAUCCAAGGUUGCACCAAGGAAACUCUAGAUUUGUUGGAAAAGAUGGCAGAAACAGAUCUAGAAAAUCACCUUCGUGAUCUAUUGAAAGGACGCAAAUACCUUGUGGUGGUUGAUGAUGUGUGGAAGAGAGAAGCAUGGAAGAGUUUGAAAAGAGUAUUCCCGGACAACAAGAAUGGCAGCAGAGUUAUUAUCACCACACGCCAAGGGGAUGUCGCUGAAAGAGCAGACGAUAAAGGUUUUGUCCAUAAACUUCGUUUCCUAAGCCAAGAAGAAAGUUGGGACCUCUUUUGUAGGAAACUACUUGAUGUUCGAGCUAUGGUUCCAGCAAUGGAAAGUCUAGCUAAGGAUAUGGUGGGAAAAUGUAGAGGCUUACCUCUUGCAAUUGUUGUAUUGAGUGGACUACUUUCGCAUAGAUGGGGGCUAGACAAAUGGCAAAACGUGAAAGACUGCCUUUGGAAGGACAUUGAAGAAGACUCUAUUGAAAUCUCCUACAUACUAUCAUUAAGCUUCAGCGAUUUGUCAGCUGCGCUCAAGCUGUGUUUUCUCUACUUUGGUAUUUUUCCAGAAGAUCAAGUGAUCAAAACUGACAACAUAAUGCGGUUGUGGAUGGCAGAGGGUUUCAUCAUACCAAGAGGAGAAGAAAGAAUAGAGGAUGUCGCUGAAGGUUUCUUGAAUGAGCUGAUAAGACGAAGCUUGGUUCAAGUAGUGGAUACAUUUUGGGAAAAAGUUACUGAAUGUAGGGUUCAUGAUUUACUUCGUGAUCUUGCCAUACAAAAGGCAUUGGAGGUAAACUUCUUUGACAUUUAUGAUCCAAGAAAGAACUUGAAAUCCACUUCAUGUAUAAGACAUGCCAUUCAUAGUGAAGGAGAAAGGUACCUCUCAUCACUUGAUCUUUCUAACUCGAAGUUGAGGUCAAUUAUGUUCUUUGAUCCACAUUUUCGUAAUCUGUUCCAACAUAUACAUGUGUUCCAACAUAUAUAUGUGUUGUACUUGGAUAUUAAUUAUGGUAAUGUUAUACCUGAUGCCAUAGGGAGUUUGUACCACCUCAAGUUGUUAAGCUUGAGAGGUGUCCGUAAUAUUCCCUCCUCCAUUGGCAACCUCAAGAAUUUACAGACACUUGUUGUUGUCAAUAUUGACUUACUUUGCCAACUACCCCCCGAAACAGCUGACCUAAUAAAUUUAAGACAUUUAGUUGUUCCAUAUUCUAAACCUCUGGCAGGUAUAAGCAAACUCACUAGUCUUCAAGUUCUUCACCUUGAUUGUGAUCAGUGGAAAGAUGUUAACCCAGUUGAUUUUGUCAAUCUUCGAGAAUUAGAGAUGGGUAAUAUUAGGAAAUCUUACUCCCUAAACAACAUUAGCAGCUUGAAAAACCUCAACACUCUCAGAUUGUGUAUUUUGUUUGGUCAACAAUAUACAUAUCCAUUCCCAUCCCUUGAAUUUGUUUAUAGUUGUGAAAAGCUCCAGAAAUUGUCGUUAGGUGGGAGAUUAGAGAAACUGCCUGUGUUUCCAGAUUCCAUCACAAUGAUAGUUAUUUGGCAGUCAAGACUGACAAAAGAUCCGAUGCCUAUUUUGGGAAUGUUGCCAAACCUAAGGAAUCUCCACUUGUCCAGAGCUUAUGAAGGAGAAGAAAUAAUGUGCAGUGAUUACAGCUUCAGUCAACUAGAGCUCCUUCAUCUUUAUGGUCUUGACAACUUAGAAAGAUGGCAUUUAGGCACAAAUGCCAUGCCUCUCAUUAAAGAUCUUUCUAUCUAUAAUUGUCAAAAGCUGAAGGAGAUUCCAGAGAGAAUGAAACACGUGAAGCAUUUCAAACAUAUACGAAGUCUUAUAUGAUUAUAGGAAAGGUAAAUAUACAAACACAUUCCAAUCCUUCAUUUUUUUCUUUUUUAUAUAAAUAAUAAUAUUUUUGUUAAACAGGAGAUGAAGACAUUCAAGUUGAUGAAGAUGGGUUGUCCAUGCAUCAAUCAAGUUUCCGUCACUUUACUGAUUUUGUGAUUCUAUGCAAAAAUAAGGAUUUUUUUGGUUUUUGGCUUCUUUUUUUUUUAGUGUGUGGAAUUGGUUGGAAGAAAUUUUUUUUUUUUUUGUGUGUGUGUGCGGCGGGGGGGGGGUGGGGGGGGGGGGGGGGGGGGGAUUGUAUGCAAAAAUGAUUUUGUGAUUAUUUAAUUAAUAUACAUCUAGUACAAUAAUAUACAAAACUUUUAUAUUUCUUUUUUACAAAAAUAUUGUAAAACUUGAUAUACAAUAUUUAUACACGAUAUUAUACGAAAUCAUAAGAGGUAUUUAUACACAUUUAUACAAUCAUAUAUAUAUAUAUAAAAGAGAACUCUAUGUCCGCCUACGUAGCGUCAUCACAAACCAGGAUUUCCUUUUAAUUUAUUUAUUUACAAAACUAGCAUUCCCCUUACAUGAAAAGAUGUGACUUUUAUGAAGAGUUGCAACUUUUAUGAAGAGUUGCGACUUUUAUGAAAACCUGUGACUUUUAUGAAAGGUUGUGUUCCUUCCGAAGGGUUGUAACUUUUCCAAAGAGAUGUGACCUUUCCGAUAAGCCACAAUAAAUAUUUGUUCACACUACCCUUUGUUGUCUAUAAAUAGAGGGAUAUCCUCUCAUUUUAAAACAACGAAAAUUUUGAACUUCUUCUUCUUCUGCACAAUUAAAUAUUAUUUUUGUAUCAAUACACUGGUGAAUAGAAUCGUUCUAUCCUGAGAGGAUCUAUUCCUUUAAACCUCGGGUACUAGAGGGGAAUAAUUUUCUUAAAGGAACACUAUGCAUUUAAUGGGCUCAAUUUUUUCCAGUAUGUUUCAUUCUAUUGUUACAGAUCCUGGUAUGUUUGUUUUAAACUUUGUUGUUUAUGUUACUGCAAAGUUAUUGUUAGUACAGAUUAAAUAACACACAUUAAUUGAGUAUUACUAAUCAUGCAAGUUUUCUCUACUGAAAUUGUAAUUUCAAAUUGAACUUCAUCACUCUGGUAUGUUGAUUUUUUAAAAACAACCAAAUAAACUGAAUAGUUUUAUGUAAUAUUUUCCCUUUCAAGUAUAUAUAAUAUAAGGAAAAAUUACAGAAAUCUUACCUUUUAGUUUACUUAUUACCAUUAUCUCCUAUAAGUUUUACAAAUCUCCAAAAUCCCUUAUUUUCGCGCAUCAGAUUAGUGUAUCUCGCGCAUCAGAUUAGUAUAUCAUGUAUAAAAUAAUAAUAAGGUGGAGACAAACAACUUAUUCUUAAAAAUUAAGCAAUGCAUAUUAUUUUGAAUAUUGACAAAUCAAAGAAGCAAUAAAAAUUUAUCUGACAUAACUAAUUCCAGCAUAACUUGUUUUCGAAUCAACUGACAACGUAUUUGGUAUGAAGAAAAAUGUUUUCCAAAGCAACAUGUUUUCCUCAAAUUUAAGAAAAAUGACUUACCUCCAGAAAAUUAGGAAAACAUUUUUCAGAACUCUUUUUCUACCUCACACCUAAACUUUUCACCCUAACUCAAGUCUCGAGUUAUUCUCAAUACAAAUUCGGGAUCUGACUCCUGAUUCUUGAUUCGGGACCAGACUCUCGACCUCAAUUCGAGACCCGACUCAGGAGAUGGAUCUAAGUCAAAUUCUAAUUUCGGUGUCGAGUCCCAGGUCAGGAUUUGAGGUCGAAUCUUGGAUUGGAUGUCGGGGUUUAUUCCCAAGUCAGGUGUCGGUGUAGGGUUCCAAAUUGAGUGUCAGAGUUAGGUUUUGAGUCAAGAGUCGAGAUCUAGUCCCAGGUCAGUUGGCGGAUUUGAGUCCCGGAUCAGUUGUCGAGGUAGGGUAUCGUGGUUGAAUUCCAAUUUGAAAGUCAAGUCCUUGAUAGGGAGUUGGGAUCAAAUCUCGAUUUGGAAGUUGGGUCAAGUGUCGGGGUCAGGUUUCACAUCGAGUGUUUACGUCAAAUGUUGGUUUGGAUCUCACGUUAGGUGUCGAGAUCGAGACCCGAAACAAUCAUCGAGUUAAAGAUCAGGGUCAAGGUCAAUGUCGAGUCCUAGGUUGGGAGUUGAGGUCAGGUCCUGGAUCAGUUAUUAGAGUUGAUUUUCAGAUUAGAAAUUAUUUUCCUAAAAUUUAUUUCCUUAUCUCUAGCCAAAAUAAAAGUUUUUUUUUUUGAAAAAUGUUUUUCAUUCACCAACCAAACACUCAAAAAAAAAAUUCACUCAUCAACUUAUUUUCUAAGAAAACAAUUUCCUCCAUACCAAACACACCCUUAAGUCUCAAUCCCAAAAAAUAUUGAGGGUUGACAAUCGGUUAUAUGAAUCAUCACUAUCAAUAUUGUUCUAUUAUUAAUUAAGCAGUUGAUGGUGAAAGAUACACCUAAAGUAUCCUAAUUAUCGAGUCUCAUAUUCGAACUAUCAAUUGAGCACUCUAACUUACAAAAUGAUCAUCUAGGCACCUAAUUCAAAACUUAUGUGUCACGUCAACGUCAGGUGUUCAUUAGACACAAUGAGGACAAAUUGAAGUGUUUAAUUGUCAAUUAAGACCAAAUUGAGAUGUCUAGAUGUACACUCUCAAAGUUGAAGUGCUUAUUUGAUUAGAUUGAAUCAAAUCAAGAAAAAGAAACUCAAUCAAGAAUUUGGUUUGGUAUCGAAGAAAAAAAAUUCGAUCAUAAUUAAUUUAGUUUAGUCAGAACUUAAGAAAAAGCAUAUCAAAAUCAAACCAAAGUGAUAUUAUAUUUAUAUAAAUUUUAUAAAUAUGUUAUACUUUAAAAUAUUUAUUAUAAUUCUUAAUAAAUAAUGGUUGUCGAUGCCAAAUGGUGGUAUGUAAUUAAUGGUGGACGAUGGCAGUAGGUUGGAUGAGGGAAUUGUUGAACUACUAACAACAGAUCCAGUAAAAUCUCACUAAGUGGAAUCUGAGGAGGGUAGAGUGUAUGCACUCUACCUCCAAUUUUCAUGAAAAUAUUUAAAUAGAUAUCUUAAUAAUAUUAAUAUUUUUUUCUUAUAGAGAUUAAUCAUUUAGAUUUAUUCAAACACUACAAAAAAAAAAAAAAGGGGGCGGGCGAGGGGGGGUGGGGGUGUAUGUGUGAGAGAGAUCACUAUUCUGAUGGACUAAUGCAAAGUCAAAUAUUGACUAUAUAGAAAUUAUAAAGAUAUCAUGUGCACUACAACCAAACCAAUUUUAAAUUUUCUGGGAAUGUGUACUAAUAAUGUACUUGUUAAUAUUAUUCCACAUUUGAUAUAAUUCUUUUACUAAUUAAUCAAAGAGAAGAAAUGUAAACUAAAAUAUACUUAACUCUUGAGUCAAACUUCUUCUGGCAGCAAUUAACAGCUAACUUUGAUUUGUCUUUUGUCCUAAAGAUGGUUGAUGCCUCUGUGUCAUUCGCAGUUCAAAAACUUCUCAUACAGGAAGCUUCCCUGCGUACAAGUCUCAGACAGGAUGUGCGGUGGCUGCGAAAUGAGCUGUUCUUCAUGCAGUCUUUCCUUAAAGAUGCAGAACAAAAGCAAGUUGUAGAUCAAAGAGUUCAGCAAUGGGUGUUUGAGAUCAACUCUGUUGCUAAUGAUGCCAUUGCUAUAUUGGAGACUUAUAGCUUAGAGGCUAGUAAAGGUAACGACCCUAGAUUUGCUAGUCGUCUGAAGGCUUGCACUUGCAUCUGCAGGAAGGAGACAAAAUUCUACAACGUCAGCAUCACUAAAGCAUUGAAUCAUGGAUAUCUCUCACAAACGAGAGACUUAUGGUAUUAGAGAUAUCAAUAAUGCAGGAGAAGGGCCAAGUAAUUGCCCAAACAAUCAGUAUGACAUGGUUAGAACAUUGAGGAGAACUACCUCAUAUGUAGAUGAGGAUCACAUUUUUGUUGGCUUUCAGGAUGUUGUACAAGCAUUGCUAGCUCAACUUCUCAAAGCAGAGCUUCACAGAAGCGUCAUCUCCAUUUAUGGUAUGGGCGGAUUAGGCAAGACAACUCUUGGGAGAAACCUAUACAUCAGUCCUAAUAUAGUCUCUAGCUUCCCUACACGUGCUUGGAUAUGUGUUUCUCAAGAGUACAACACCAUGGAUCUCCUUAGGAAUAUCAUAAAAUCCAUCCAAGGUUGCACCAAGGAAACUCUAGAUUUGUUGGAAAAGAUGACAGAGAGAGAUCUAGAAAUUUACCUUCGUGAUCUUUUAAAAGAACCCAAAUACCUUGUGGUGGUCGAUGAUUUAUGGCAUAGAGAAGCAUGGGAAAGUUUGAAACGAGCAUUUCCAGAUAGCAAGAACGGCAGCAGAGUAAUUAUUACUACACUAAAAGAGGAUGUCACUGAAAGAGCAGAUAACAAAGGUUUUGUCUAUAGCUUCGCUUCCUGAGCCAAGAAGAAAGUUGGUAUCUCUUUUGUAGGAAACUACUUGAUGUUCGGGCAAUGGUCUCAGCAAUGGAAAGGCUAGCAAAGGAAAUGGUGGACAAGUGUGGAGGUUUACCUCUUGCAGUUGUUGUAUUAAGCGGACUACUUUCACAUAAAAGGGGGUUCGAAGAAUGGCAAAAGGUGAAGGACCACCUUUGGCAAAACAUUAAAGACGACUCUAUUGAAGUCUCCUGCAUACUAUCAUUGAGCUACAACGAUUUGUCAAUUGCGCUCAAGCAGUGUUUCCUGUACUUUGGUAUUAUUCCAGAAGAUCACGUGGUCCAUGUUGAUCACAUAUUAUGGUUGUGGAUGGCUGAAGGAUUUGUACCAACAGGAAAAGAAAUAAUGGAGGAUGUUGUUGAAGGCUUCUUGAAUGAGUUGAUAAGAAGAAGCUUGAUACAAGUGGUACGCACAUUUUGGGAAAAAGUUGGUAAUUGUAGGAUUCAUGAUCUGCUUCGCGAUCUUGCCGUACAAAAAGCAUUGGAGGUAAACUUUUUUGACAUUUAUGAUCCAAGAAAGCACUCCAUAUCCUCCUUGUGUCUUAGACAUGCCAUUCAUAGUCAAGGAAAAAGGUAUCUCUCACUUGAUCUUUCUAACUUGAAGGUUAGGUCACUUAUGUUCCUUGAUACGGAAUUUUUAAAGAUGGGUCUUAUAAAGUUCCAUAAUGUGUUCCAACAUCUAUAUGUGUUGUACUUGGAGAUGCGUGUUGACAAUGUCUAUAGUACCUGAUGCCAUAGGAAGUUUGUACCACCUCAAGUUCUUAAGAUUGAGAGGUAUCUAUGAUCUUCCCUCUUCCAUUGGCAACCUCAAGAAUUUACAGACACUUCUUGUCAAUGACUAUGGAUACUUUUGCCAACUACCCCGCGAGACAGCUGACUUGAUAAAUUUAAGACAUUUAGUUGCUUCGUAUUCAAUACCUCUGAAAUGUAUAAGGAAACUCACUAGUCUUCAAGUUCUUAAAGGCAUCCAUUGUGAUCAGUGGAAAGAUGUUGACCCUGUUGAUUUAGUCAAUCUUCGAGAAUUAAGCAUGCAUGAGAUUACCAAAACUUACUCACUGAACAACAUUAGCAGCUUGAAAAACCUUAGCACUCUAAAAUUGUGCUGUGUAGCUUAUGAAUCAUUCCCAAACCUUGAAUAUCUUAGUUCUUGUCAAAACCUUCAGAAAUUGUGGUUAGAGGGGCAAAUAGAAAAACUGCCUCUCUCAGAGCAGUUUCCGAAUUCCAUCGCCAUGAUGGUCCUUCGGUACUCAGAACUCAUGGAAGAUCCCAUGUCUACUCUAGGGAUGCUGCCAAAUCUAAGGAAUCUCGAUUUGUUUAGAGCUUACGGAGGAAAAGAAAUUACUGCAUUGAUAACAACUUCAGUCAACUGGAGAUCCUUCGUCUUGAUUGUCUUGAGAACUUAGAAAGGUGGCAUUUAGCCACAAGUGCCAUGCCUCUGAUUAAAGGUCUUGGUAUCCAGCGUUGUCCAAAGCUACAUGAGAUUCCCGAUAGAAUCAAAGACGUAGAGAGAACUCCUUUUCAAUGAAGCUUUUCAAGCAUAUGUGAUGUCCUAUUUCAGCUCUUUCAUAAUCGUAGAGGUAAUAAAUCCCAAUCCCCAAUGAUCAUUUCUUUAAUUCCUUUUAAUUACUCACUCUGCCACAGAUUUGUUAGUAUAAUGUUUAAUUUUUAUACUAUGACAGUACAACUUUUAAUACAUUAUCAACAUACUAAAAGAAGUCAACUAUAAAUAAUUGUCUAUAAGUAAAUCACUUAUGCAUGAGAUUUUGUCUUGUAUCCCAACAACAACAUACCCAGUACUGUAUUCCAACAGAAUGAGUUCUGGGGGGUAGAGUGUACGCGAACCUUACAUCCACCUCAAAGGUCAGGUAGAGAGACUAUUUCUGAUAAACUCUCGGCUCAAGACAAAAACAGACUAGAAAAAGACAUAAUGGAAGUAGAAGAGACAAUAGGUAGUAACAAAACAACAGAUGAAAGCAGAACAGUACUACAACCAAAUAAUAUUACAAUCAAACUAUGAUUAAUCAUCAAUUUAGGUUAUUGAUAAAUCUUUUGUUCUUUAUUGAAUACUAUUCCUCAUAUUAAAUAGUGUCUUACAAUUUUGUGAAUAGGAGAAGCAACAGCUGGCAGGUGUGGAACUUUUGCCAAGCAGUUCAAGAGAUUUACAUGCAGCAAGUCAGAUUUUAGAAAUAAUAAGCAUGUUUUAUUUUUUUUUGGCUUUAGGUCAUGUGUUUAAAUUAUAAGUGUGACGUUCAAGAUUUUUUUUAAAAAAUCUCCUUGUAUAAAUUUCUUGAAUCUUGUCAAAUUUAAUAAAUCUCCACCUUGGCAAGAUUCUCCAUUUUCAACUUUCUCUCAACAACUUUUGAUUGUGUCUUCAACCUUAAUCUUCAAUGUUCAACAAUGUUGAUCAAGUUCAAACAAUGUUGAAACUUGACCGCAGUAACCACUUUUGUCAGCAUAUCGGCAGGAUUAUCCGUAGUAUGAAUUUUCUACACUGUGACUCCACCUUCUUCUAUGAUGUCUCGUAUGAAAUGAUAUCGGACAUCAAUGUGCUUCGUCCUUGCAUGAUAAACUUGGUUCUUUGCUAAUUGAAUAGCACUUUGACUAUCACAAAAUAUUGUGAUUCCUUCUUGUCCAAUACCAAGCUCUCUAAGCAAUCCUUGAAGCCAAAUUGCCCCUUUGCAGCCUCUGUAAUUGCCAUAUACUCUGCCUCAGUGGUAGACAAAGCAACUCUUGACUGCAAAGUAGGCUUCCAACUAACUGGUGCGUUUGCAAUAGUGAAAACAUAACCAGUAGUUGAUCUUCGUUUGUCCAAAUCACCUGCAUAAUCUGAGUCACAAUAUCCAACAAGAUAUUGACUAUCUUUAUGCUCAUAAACCAAGUCAAUAUCUACAGUAUUAUGAAUAUACCGUAGAAUUCAUUUUACAGCCUGCCAAUGAUCCUUUCCAGGAUUAUGCAUAUACCUGCUUACAACUCCAACAGCGUGUGAAAUAUCUGGCCUUGUGCAAACCAUUGCAUACAUCAAGCUACCAACAACAUUCGCAUAUGGUACUUUUGACAUAUAUUCUUGUGCAACUUCACUCUUUGGCGACAUAGCAUCACUAAGCUUAAAAUGAGGAGCAAGCGGAGUGCUAACCGACUUCGUUUUCUCAUUCAUGCCAAAUCGAUUUAGUACCCUCUUCAAAUAUUCUUUCUGAGAUAAAAAAAAGCUUCUUUGAAUGACGAUCUCUUUUUAUCUCCUUGCCAAGAAUCCUCUUUGCCUCGCCCAAAUCAUUCAUCUCAAACUCCUUUUUUUGUUGAAUCUUUAGCUUCUCAAUUUCCUCUUGACUUUUAGAAGCUAUCAACAUAUCAUCAACAUAUAGGAGAAGAUAGAUAAAGGAAUCGUCUUCAAGCUUGCGCAAAUACACACAAUGAUCGUAUUUGUUUCUUAUGUACCUUUGCUGCAACAUAAACUUGUCAAAUCGUUUGUACCAUUGUCUAGAAGAUUGUUUCAAUCCAUACAACGAUUUUUCAAGUUUGCACACCAUAUUUUCUUUUCCAUCAACUUUGAAUCCUUCUGGCUGAGUCAUGUAGAUUUCCUCUUCCAAGUCUCCAUGUAAAAAUGCAGUUUUUACAUCCAACUGAACUAGUUCAAAAUUCAACUGUGCUACCAAAGCCAACAAAACUCUAAUGGAGGAGUUUUUCACAAUUGGAGAAAAUACCUCAUUAUAGUCAAUUCCCUCCUUUUGAGUGUAUCCUUUGGCCACCAAUCUUGCUUUGUAGCGAACAUCUUCUUGGUUAGGAAAUCCUUCUUUCUUUGCAAAUACCCAUUUGCACCCAAUUGCUUUCUUGCCAUCCGGGAGAUUGGCCAAUUUCCAUGCAUGAUUCUGAUGAAAGGACUGCAUUUCUUCAUCUAUGGCAAACCUCCACUUAUCUUCUUCUGAACUUUGGAUUGCAUCUUUAUAAGUGGUAGGAAUGUCAUCCGCUGCAAUUGAGUCCGCACAAGCCACCACAUCUGUGAGUCGAGCAGGUUUUCUUAUUGUCCUUUUUGGCUUGCUGGUUGCUAUUGAUUCAAGUUGUGGUUGAGGUUCUUGAGAUGGAACCUCCCCUUCGACUGGCUCUUCUUCCAGAGGAAACACUUCUAUUGUUUCCUCAUUUGAUCCAUGUUUUAGGAAAAUUAUAUUUCCCUCAAACUCCACCUGCUUUGAAGCACCAUCAGUUUGUUUGACUUCUUCAACUGUUACCUUAUUUGUCAAGGCAGAUUCAUCAAAGGUAACAUCCCUACUGAAAAUAAUUUUUCUUGUCUCUGGACACCAUAAACGAUAUCCUUUGACUCCAGAAGUAAUUCCCAUAAAUAAAGCUUUAUUUGCUCUUGGGUCCAAUUUUGACUCCCUUACAUGAUAAUAUGCAAUUGAGCCAAAUACAUAUAAAGAACCAUAAUCUUCAGCAGGUUUUCCAUACCAUUUUUCUAAUGGUGUCUUCCCACCAAUAGCAGCAGAUGGUAGACGAUUAAUCAGGUGACAUGCAUAAUGUUAUUGUCUCAGCCCAAAAUUCUUUGCCCAAGCCAGCAUUGGACAACAUACACCGAACCUUCUCCAGCAAAGUUCGGUCCAUGCAUUCUUCCACUCCAUUCUGUUGUGGUGUAUUUCUAACGAUGAAAUGUCUGACGAUGCCAUUUUCCUCACAAAUUUUCUGAAAAAGAUCAUUUUUGUAUUCUCCACCAUUGUCUGUGCGAAGACACUUGAUCUUUUUUCCACUUUGAGUUUCUAUCAUCACUUUCCAUUUGAGAAAAAUUCCCAAUACUUCAUCUUUUGUUUUCAUCGUAUACACCCACAAUCUUAGGGAAAAGUCAUCAACAAAGGUUUCAAAAUAGUGUUUCCUACCUAAUAAAUGUGUUUUGGAAGCACCCCAAACAUUUGAAUGAACAUAAUCCAAAAUACCUUUAGUAUUAUGGAUAGUUGUUCCAAAUCAUGGAAAUCUCUCGCAAACGAGACACUUAUGGUAUUACAAAUAUCAAUAGUAAUGCUGGAGAAGGGCCAAGUAAUUAGUCUGCCAUGGUUAGAACAUUGAGGAGAACUACCUCCUAUGUGGAUGACCAGGAUUACAUUUUUGUUGGACUUCAAGAUGUUGUACAAACAUUGUUAGAUGAACUUCUCAAACCAGAGACUCGUUGAAGUGUUGUCUCCAUUUAUUGGCAUGGGCGGAUUAGGCAAGACCACUCUUGCAAGAAACCUCUACAACAAUCCUAAUAUAGUCAAUAGCUUCCCUACACGCGCAUGGAUAUGUGUUUCUCAAGAGUACAACACAAUGGAUCUCCUUAGGAAUAUCAUAAAAUCCAUCCAAGGUUGCACUAAGGAAACUCUAGAUUUGUUGGAAAGGAUAACUGAAAAAGAUCUAGAAAUUUACCUUCGUUAUCUAUUAAAAGAGCACAAAUAUAUACCUUGUGGUGGUUGAUGAUGUAUGGCAGAUAGAAGCAUGGGAGAGUUUGAAAAGAGCAUUUCCGGAUGGCAAGAAUGGCAGCAGAGUCAUUAUUACCACGCGCAAAGAGGAUGUCGCUGAAAGAGCAGACAACAGAGGUUUUGUCCAUAAACUUCGUUUCCUAAGCCAAGAAGAAAGUUGGGAUCUCUUUAGUAGGAAACUACUUGAUGUUCGAACAAUGGUUCCAGAAAUGAAAAGUCUAGCUAAGGAUAUGGUCGAAAAGUGUAGAGGCUUACCUUUUGCAAUUGUUGUAUUGAGCGGACUACUUUUGCAUAAAAAAGAGCUAAAAGAAUGGGAAAAGGUGAAAGAUCACCUUUGGAAGAACAUUAAAGAAGAUAAAUCUAUUGAAAUCUCCAACAUACUAUCCUUAAGCUACAAUGAUUUAUCAACUGCGCUCAAGCAAUAUUUUCUCUACUUUGGUAUUUUUCCACAAGAUCAAGUGCUCGGGGCUGAUAACAUAAAAUGGUUGUGGAUGGCCGAGGGUUUCAUACCCAGAGGAGAAGAAAGAAUGGAGGAUGCCGCAGAAGGCUUCUUGAAUGAACUUAUAAGACGAAGCUUGGUUCAAGUGGCUAAAACAUAUUGGGAAAGAUUUACUGAAUGUAGGGUUCAUGAUUUACUCCAUGAUCUUGCGAUACAAAAGGCAUUGGAGGUAAACUUCUUUGACAUUUAUGAUCCAAGAAGCCACUCCAUAUCCUCUUUAUGUAUCAGACAUGUGAUUCAUAGUGAAGGAGAAAGGUACCUCUCACUUGAUCUUUCUAACUUAAAGUUGAGGUCAAUUAUGUUCUUCGAUCAAAAUUUUCGUAAGAUGAGUCUUAUAAACUUCAGGAGUGUGUUCCAACAUCUAUAUGUGUGUCUAUAGUACCUGAUGCCAUAGGAAGUUUGUACCACCUCAAGUUCUUAAGAUUGAGAGGCAUCCAAGGUCUUCCCUCUUCCAUUCGCAACCUUAAGAAUUUACAGACACUGUAUGUCAAUGACGACAUACAGUAUUGUGAACUACCCCAUGAGACAACUGACCUAAUAAAUCUAAGACAUUUAGUUUCCCUGUAUUCAAAACCUCUGGAACAUAUAAGCAAACUCACUAGUCUUCAAGUUCUUCAAAACAUCUGUUGUGAUCAAUGGAAAAAUGUUGACCCUGUUGAUUUAGUCAAUCUUCGAAAAUUAAGCAUGCAUGAUAUUACCAAAUCUUACUCCCUAAACAACAUUAGCACCUUGAAAAACCUUAGCACUCUCAGAUUGUUGUGUUGUGCUGAUGAAUCAUUCCCAUCUCUUGAAUUUGUUAAUUGUAGUGAAAAGCUCCAGAAAUUGAGGUUAGAAGGGAGAAUAGAGAAACUGCCUCAUCUGUUUCCAAAUUCCAUCACAACGAUGGUUCUGAGGUUCUCAGUACUGACAGAAGAUCUGAUGCCUAUUUGGGAAUAUUGCCAAAACCUGAGGAAUCUCGAUUUGCUUAGAGCUUAUGAAGGAAAAGAAAUAAUGUGCAGUGAUAACAGCUUCAGUCAACUAGAGUUCCUUCGUCUUUAUGAUCUUGAGAAGCUAGAAAGAUGGGAUUUAGGCACAAGUGCCAUGCCUCUGAUUAAAGGUCUUGGUAUCCAUGACUGUCCAAAUUUAAAGGAGAUUCCUGAGAGAAUGAAAGACGUGGAGUUGUUGAAGAGGAAUUAUACGUGGUGAAGCUUUUGAAGCAUAUAUCAUGUCUUAUUUUGGCCUCAUAAUCGUAGAUUUUAGUGUUUCUGCCAAGCACUUGAAGACAUUGGUUAUUUCAGGGCUGUCAAUGAGAGUGGUUUUAGUGUUUGAUUUCUUAUUGUUUUAAGCUUUUUGAGUGAGUGUAAUUGGUUUGAAGAUAGUUGUUUUUGGCAAAAAUGAUUUUGUGAUGUUUUAAUUAAUUGUCUACUGUAUGUUCCCCUACUUAGCCACAUUUAAGACAAUGCUUUAUAUGUUAAAAUGUGUUGGUGUAAUAUACCCUAAAUAUAAUAAGUAAAUAAAAUGACAAAAAAUGCAUAAACAAAUCUUUAGGCUGAGGCACGGAUAUCUCGCUCUCUUUAAGGAGAUUCAAGCCCACUGCAGCAUAAUCUACACCGAUCCAGCAGUAUCACUCUUGACUUGUCCCCUCUAGGAUACAACAGCCCAACAAUGUGUACAACUCAAGCAACUCCGGAUUAGUUAAAGAGUCCAAAGCUCCACAUAAGAACACUUUCCUUCAACAUAUAAAUACUCUCUUGUCUAUAGUGAAUAUAGUUGAAGACUUAGAAUAUUUUUCUAUGUCUCAACUCUCUCUUUCACUAUUACACACUACAAUAUUACUUCACACUUCUCAUCUUUUUGAGAUACUUCACAAAGGAAGAAACACAACUAUUUAUAGGUGAAGAAGUCUCCCAUAUAAUCAAUAGGUAGAAUGAGGGGUAGUAAUGUGGCUGGAUAAAUGUGAUAGAUGUUACAUGAGUUACAAGAAACUAAUGGUCAUAUGAGUUACAAGAAACUAAUGACCAUGAUAGUUACAAGAACUAAUGGCCAUAUAGGUUACAAGAACCAAUAGUCAUCUUCUACCACAAUUUAUACCCACUAACUUAUGCACUUAAUAUUUUAUUUUAAUAAUAAAAUGUAUAUACACCAACAAAAUGAAAUUAAAAAUAGUAUAUGGUGUUAUGAAUCAACCCCAGCCCAAUAGGUGUUCUUAUUGAGGACGGGAGUAUUGUUAUGAAUCAGCCCCAGCCCAAUAGGGAUACCAACAAGGAUAUCACACAAAUAGAUAUUGGGCCGAGUAAAAGCAAUCGGGCCAGGCCUUCACAAAUUGUUUGGGAUCCAGGCCCAUUUACACUUUGUUAAAAAGGGCAAAUGAGUUGGAAAGAAGGAUUAGGAAAAUUGUUAAAGAAAGAGUGUUUCCUCUCAUCUCCCUUCUUAGUCUAAGCUUCUCAUCCCCUUCCUAUGGGUUCUUCUGAUUUCUCAUCUCCUUGCUAUUAUCUAUCCUAGUUUCUUUAUCUUCUGUAAUUUCUAUUGUACUAGUACUAUUUCUAUGUUGCUGUAGUACACCAGUUAAUACAAUCAGUGAAAAGAGUUUGGCUACUGUUCUUUUGUGAUUAGUGUUUGUUACAUAGGUGCUUUCAUCCAGAGAACUCCAUCAUCAGCUAUGUUUCUACCUAGAUUCAAUGGCAAUGACAACGGCAACCCGAAGAACUGGAUUUUUCGGGCAGAAUUGUACUUCACAUACCUUGGUUUCGACGAGAAGGACUGGCUACCUCUUCCUUCCUUCUACUUUGAUGGUGAAGCUCUUUCCUGGUUCGAUUGGUUGUUUCGCAACAAGCUACUCGUCGAUUGGAACCAUUUCAAGGAUGCAUUUACUCAGCGAUUUCAACAACAAACCAACAUAAAUGUGUUGGGGCGUCUAGCUAAUUCCUCACAGGUUCAUUAUGACUACAUUAGUUCUGUCCCUAUAGUUUCACAAUCAGUUGUGGUGUCUCCUUUUUCUGCUUCCAGUCAUUUUUCAAGGUCCUCUGCCAUUGCAUCUGCCUGCAACGCUGAAAGCUCACAGGCAGACCAGGUGCUCGAUGAAAGUUCUCACGGCAUUAAAUUAAAUGAGGUAAGGUCAAUUGCACCCCGAGUAUCACUCCUAGUUCCUUUUGAUGGUCCAGAAGUUGUUAGGCCAAAUGAACAUCUCGAACGAGAUAUGUCAAUGAGGUAUGUAGAUGUUAACUCUCUUGCUAGUGGCUCUCCUAAAUUGAAAACUGAUUCGGAGACCUUCGUAGACUGGUAUCUUUCUGAUUUGUUCAUGGAACCUGUGGGUAAUGAAAAUCUGUAUCUCAAUAUCUCGACAAGUUCAAUACAUUCUGUUAAAAUACUUCCUGACAUUGAAAAUGGAAAAUCCACCGGGGCGUUCAAUGAUCAAAAUAUUUCAAGUCAAUUUCCAUUGGUUCCUGCUGCUAAUUUAUUUAUUAUAAUCAUGCCUGUGAUUGCAAUGGACCUUUGUGUAUGGGAUCCAGGAAUAUGUUUCGAGUUCAUGGCUCUAACAGAUUUUAUAGAGAACGCAGAGGAAUUAUUUUUGUUGGGCUGUCCUUGCAAGUUUUUCUUAAAUGUAGAUUCAAACUCUAUGAGUAGAGUGUGGGAUCCGGGACAAACAUGGUGUGUAUAUUGCUACUUCUCUAAUGGGUCAUGCGUUAUGUAUAACUACAUUGCAUUCACAUGUCCUUCAAUCGCAUAUGAACUAGUCGUUGAGGAAUAUUUUUAUGUAAACUAUGACGUUUUGGUGGACAACUUCAAGCAAACAUCAGUUUUGCGUCCCGAUGUCAGCACUAGUUUUGACAGGAAAAUUGAGAAUUGCUACCUAGUGCUUGAUAGAAAGAAUCAUAUUGCAUUACUUAGUUCUACUAUAGGGCUUCAGAACUUUGAUGCUCAUUUUAAUGUGCUCCCAAUUGGCAUCACUGGCCCCAUGAAAGUUUUUGGAAGACAUAGUGUUGCGCACGAAGUACUAUCUAAUUCUGCCCAUCACUGGUCCUUGAAGAUUUGUUUACAUGGACUUUUCCAUAAUUGGUUUGCUGGAAGAACUCAUUGGUUUGUUUUUGUUGUUAUUAAUGGUGAUGUUGUGGGAAGUUCAACUAGAAUUGUCCAUUUAAACAAAUGGGUUUCUGGGCAGCGGCUGAAGGAUAAUGUACAAAUGCCUAGGCAUAACAAUGUGUCAUGGAGGGGAAAUUCUGGGCUGCAAGAUGGAAAGUAUAUUGAUUUUAUUAAAUAUAAAUAUUUGGUGGUGGUCUACAAUGAUGCCAGAGAUGGACUACAACUUAGUUUGCCUUUAUUUCAUGUUCUUACUAUGCUAAGCUGGAGUGUGAGUGUGCAUCUUGCAAAUUAUAAAGUUGUUGAACUAAAUCAUGUCAGGGAUGUUUUCAAAGCAGCCUUCACUAUGAUGUCCAUUCUAAGGAUAUUGUGGCCUAGGAGACAUGUAAUUGGAGAAAAUGAUGAGUUUAUCGGCAAGAAGGCUGCUUAUGCAUUGAGCCAAGGCGUUGGCGUUAUAGCCUGUAUUGGAGAGCUGUUACAAGAAAGAGAAGCAGGAAAAACUUUUGAUCUCUGUUUCCAGCAAUUGAAGGCUUUUGCAGAUGCUAUACCAAGUUGGGAUAAUGUUGUCAUUGCGUAUGAGCCUGUCUGGGCUAUUGGAACUGUUGCCUCGCCUGAUUUUUCUUGUCACAACCAUGUCCAACAGGCAGUAAACUGUUUUGACACAAUAUACAAAGCUUGGUAUGAAGCUCUUGAUUUUUCUCACAAGGGACUUGCAGGUGUUUGCCAUCAAAUGCACUUCGUCCAUCUUAAAGUCAAUGUAACUGCACCUAGAUUACCAAUGCUUUCGUUGGCGAGAUCUCUUGACUUGAACCUUGAGGACAAGGUUCUUAUUGAGGACGGGAGUAUUGUUAUGAAUCAGCCCCAGCCCAAUAGGGAUACCAACAAGGAUAUCACACAAAUAGAUAUUGGGCCGAGUAAAAGCAAUCGGGCCAGGCCUUCACAAAUUGUUUGGGAUCCAGGCCCAUUUACACUUUGUUAAAAAGGGCAAAUGAGUUGGAAAGAAGGAUUAUGAAAAUUGUUAAAGAAAGAGUGUUUCCUCUCAUCUCCCUUCUUAGUCUAAGCUUCUCAUCCCCUUCCUAUGGGUUCUUCUGAUUUCUCAUCUCCUUGCUAUUAUCUAUCCUAGUUUCUUUAUCUUCUGUAAUUUCUAUUGUACUAGUACUAUUUCUAUGUUGCUGUAGUACACCAGUUAAUACAAUCAGUGAAAAGAGUUUGGCUACUGUUCUUUUGUGAUUAGUGUUUGUUACAUAUGGUACUCUCACUUGUCCACAAUUUAGUAUUUUCUGUUCCUCCUUCAAUAGCAAAGGAGUUCAUUUAUCUAACUAGUUUUGGUAUCUUAAGUUUUUGGUUUCUGGUUUCAGACAGAUUCGAAAACUACUUAUACUGCAAAAUUAGAGAUGCAACGCAUACCAAAAUAAUCCAAUCACUAGAAGUCUAAUUUACUGACUCAAAUUUAAUUACAUGCCUUCUUCACCUAACUGACUCUAGAUUUAUUGGAAAGGAUGACAGAAGGAAAUCUAGAAAUUUAUCUUCGUGAUCUAUUAAAAGAAUGCAAAUGUGAUGUAUAGCAGAGAGAAGCAUGGGAGAAUUUGAAAAGAGCAUUCCCGGAUAGCAAGAAUGGAAGCAGAGUUAUUAUUACCACGCCCAAAGAGGAUGUCGUUGAAAGAGCAGACGACAGAGGUUUUGUCCAUAAACUUUGUUUCUAAGCCAUGAAGAAAGUUGGGAUCUCUUUUGUAGGAAACUACUUGAUGUUCGAGCAAUGACCUCAGCAAUGGAGAGGCUAGCAAGCUAUGGAUAUGGUGGACAAGUGUAGAGGUUUACCUCUUGCAAUUGUUGUAUUAAGGAGGCUAGAAGAAUGGCAAAAGGUGCAGGACCGCCUUUGGCAGAACAUUAAAGACGACUCUAUUGAAUUCUCCUACAUACUAUCAUUGAGCUACAACCAUUUGUCAACCUUAGAUGGAAUAAGCACACCAUCACUAUCACAAUAAGAAAUAUCAAUCUUCUCAUACCUAUCAUGAAAAAAGGAUCACUGGAGGAGCUUAGAGCGAAAAAUCAUGAAAACCAUUCAUUCGAGAAAUCAUAUCAUCAUCAUCAUAUGUUAUUAAAAGUAGGAAGAAUCUAAGUCAAAAGUUGAAUUAUGAAAAAACCCCUUACCUAUUAAUUUUUUUUUUUAAAAUCAUUUUAAAAAAUUAUUUUUCCAUUUAAAAUCAACUUCAUAACUACACCUCUGCAUUUUCCUAACUUAUCAUCAUAUUAUCAUAAAUAAAUAAUAAAUAAUAAUAAUUAUUAAAAGUGGAAAGCUCCAAAAUUUGAAGUUGGGUCGUCAUUUUACCCCUAUAUUAAAUAAAAAAGUUAUAAAAUAUUUUAUUAAUUAAAUAUUAAAUAGUAAUAAUUUGUCAUUUUUUCUUCACAUAUAAAAAAAGAGAAAUAAAACUUCUAUGAAAUUAGUAAAUAGUAAGUAUAUAUAUAAGUGGAACCAAAAUAUUUUUAAAAUUGAAUUAUCAAAAUGUCCAUAAAAUAUUGAAUGACAUUAAUAUCCUUCAAUCAAAUAUUAUUCCUACAAUAAUAUUGUACAAGAAUAUAAAUAUACACUUAGUUCAAUGCAUUAGGCUAUUUAAUAUAUAUAUAUAUACACGAAAAUACCCAUUAAUAUUUUGCUACAAGUGAAUUUGGCCGCGCUACGCGCAGUGGAAUUACUCAUUUAACAAAUUCAUUAUUAAUUUGAAAAUUGAUUUACUACUAUAUAGUUUAUGAACUAUAAUGCUAAUUGUUUUGAAAAUUCUUUAAAUGUUAUAAACCAUAAAGAAUUGUUUAUAUAUACUUUAUAAAUUUUAAACAUGUUAGCUUUCAUAUAAAAGUGUUGCUUGUUACAACAAAAAUUAACAUUCUAUUUGGUAGAAGAAAGAAAGAAAACUAUAGGUAAAUAGAUGAGUCAAAGAUAUCAAAAUACUUGUGAAUGAUCGUGAUUUAUCGAGCAAGAACUCAUAUGUUAAACUAUUUUAAAUUUUUUAUUAUGCACUUUUCAAGUUCAUUAGUACUAUUCUCUUUCAGAUAGUAUAGUUACAGUAUAAUUUUAAAAAAAGGACCGACAUGCUCGUGUUUUCUUCACCUUUGGUUGUUUCUUUGUUCUUCACAGUUGUUUUAUAUUUCCCUUUUGUUUCAAUACACUCUAAAGAUAGAAAUGUUCUUCAAACUCCACAAAUAGAACAAACAUGUAAAAGAAUAACUUAUGAAACUUAUAGAAACAUUUGAGAAGAUGAUAUACUUGUAGUGCUCUCCACUUAAACGAAUAUCUGAGAUCCUAAUAAUUUUACGGAGAUCCUAAUAAUUUUACCUGAAAUCUUUCUGUUGCCUGCACAAAAAUGACAUAUCCGAUGAUGAUAUUUGGUUGCCGAUAAUGAUAUGUAACUGCAAAACAAUUAUGAUAAAACAUAAAAUAAAAAAAGAUAGUACACAUACUACAGAAGGAAAGCAAACAUGAUCGGUUAGGUAACGAUUGCUUCUAAUUUUGCUUCAAAUUCUGAGUUUUAAGUGCAUGUUAAAUCUGUUACAAUAGUCAUUUAAGGUGGAAUUAAUGAUGGUAUCUAAUUGCUACGUUUAUUUAUAUUUUAUUUAUGAGUCUUUUAAAUUCAUUUGUUAGUAGCAGAAAUGAAACAAAAACAAUACAGGAAAAGGUGAAAAAUGGUCGUUUCAUCUUUUAUUAAUAAAUGAGAUGACAUUUGUUUUUUCAAACAUAUUACACAAAUUAAAACUUAAUAAAAAGCUCAAAAAAAAAAAAAGCAUAUUACACAAAUUAAAACUUAAUAAAAAGCUCAAAAUAAAAUAAAAUAGAGAAAUAUUAUAUAUAUAUAUAUAUAUAUAUGAUAUGAUUUAUUUAACUCCUAUUUAUGUUAUAUAUAUAUAUUUCUAGAAAGUUAAGUCUAUCUUCUAAUAAAUAUAAAUAAUAAUAUAGCAAAUGAAUGAACUAGAUAAAUCAAAAGACAUGGAGUUGUGUGUAUUCAAUUUUUGUAAAUGUUUUAUCUCCCGAUUCCUAAUGCAAAAAAUAAAACAUUUCUUCGUAGUAAUAAACAUAUGGAGAUUUUGAAAAGUUGUUUGGUAUAUUCAAUGUGGAAUAAAUUAUUUUGAUCAAUUCAAUACAAUAUAUUCAUUUACUAAAUGUUAUAUAUUGUGUAUAUAUAGUGAAAAAUAACAAGACAAUUAUAUCAUCAAAUAUAUAUUAUGAUAAAUUAUGUAAAAGAUAAAAAUGAAUCAUUCAUUAUAUAUUUACAACUAGGUAAUUUACCCGUGCGAAAUAAUUUUUCUAAGCUUUUGAACAACCUUUCCAAUAAUGAUUGUUAUAAGAAAAAAAAUUAGUAGAUUUUAAAAAUAUUUCAAUAGAAAUUAAAUGAUUUAACAUUAUCACAUAUCUCAAGAAUUGUAAAUAUAUAAUGAAUGAUUAAAAAUAUCUUCAUAUCUAAUCAUUUUUAUUUUUUACAUAAUUUAUCUUAAUAUAUGUUUGAUAAUAUAAUUGUCUUGUUAAAACUGAGUGAUGUUUUUAUGUAGCGAUUAAACAUCAUUUUUUCUAUUUUUUGUACAUGAAAAAUAUAGAAUCUGAUAAUUUUAUUGUUAGAAUAUAACUUCUAGUGAAAAAAAUUAUGUGAAAGUUUUCGAUAAUCAAUAUUAGUUAUAAAUAAGUUAAGACCGUUGAAAUUGUACACCACAACAACAUAAAUAAUUUUUUUUUAGAGACAAUCUACUUGUCUGAGGUCAAACGUUCACCACUUUUCGUUAUUGUUACUUUGUUACUCUAAAAAAAUUAUAGAAGGAGAAAAAUAAAAUUGAAACAACAGCAAAAUAAUAUUGUUGACCCUUUUAAAAAUUCAUUCUUCAUUAAUUGCUUCUCUGAAGACCCUUCUAGAUGCUUAAUCAAUGCAACUUUACGAUUUUUUCAGAAAUAUGUAUGUAUAAUUGUUGCAUUAUGAAAGUACAAGUAGAUCAAAAUGUUGGAUUCUACUCAUGUUAAAGAAAUAUUCUCGAACAUUAAAAAACUAAAAAUGAAUCUAACCUAGAUAACUCAAACACUCAACAAUGACUUGGGACAUGAAGGACAACAAAUCUAUGUUAAUAGACAUAUCUUUUGUAGUUUAAGACAUUACUUUUAUUUAGAGCAGGUUUUGUUUCAUAUCCUUCAAAUUAAGCUUGCCGAAAAUAGUCAUAACUCACACCAAAAAUAUUUAGAAGAGCCGAAUGAGAAAGAAAAAAAGAAAGACAUUAAAAGGGCGAAAGCUUUUUCCAAGUGAUCAGAUCAUAUACAUACCAAACGAAAAACAAUCAAUACAAUUUUAAGGAGACAACAAAACAGCGAGAAAAAACUUACAUUAAAAGGAGUAAACUAUGAGAUACCCAAUGAUGAUAACAAAUCAUUCUAACCAAAAAAGUUCUCAUGUUUUGAAAUAACAUACCUCAAAAAAUUGACUAACACUUCAAUCAACUUUCAAUCCUUAAAGUACUCAUAAUAUCCACAUAUAAAAUUUAGUAAAAAUAGAUAACAACAACAUAAAAACCAAAAAAUAUGGGCAUGCAAAGUUAUUAACUCUCAAAGGAUUUUCUAAAGAACACAAAAUCUCAUCCUUGUAUGUGAAGGAAUGUCGUUAUUGAUGAAGAAAUUAGAGAUUUGUAAGAGCUUUUUUAUUGUACCUUCAACAAUUCCAAUAGAGAAACCUUGCUUGAAUACUCAAUUAACGUUUGUUAUUUACCUCAAAAAAUUGACUAACACUUCAAUCAACUUUCAAUCCUUAGAAUACUCAUAAUAUCCACAUAUAAAAUUUAGUAAAAAUAGAUUACAACAACAUAAAAACCAAAAAAUAUGGGUAUGCAAAGUUAUUAACUCUCAAAGGAUUUUCUAAAGAACACAAAAUCUCAUCCUUGUAUGUGAAGGAAUGGCGUUAUUGAUGAAGAAAUUAGAGAUUUGUAAGGGCAUUUUUUAUUGUACCUUCAACAAUUUCAGUAGAGAAAACUUGCUUGAAUACUCAAUUAACGUUUGUUAUUUAAUUUGUACUAACAAAUACUUAUAACAAUAAUUUUGCAGAAACAUAAACAACAAAGUUUAAAGCAUGUACUCAAAAAUAACAAUUAAUAAUAUAAACAUAAAUUAAUGACCGUAAAAAACAUAUCAGGAUAUGUAACAAUAGAAUGAAACAGAAUGGAAAAAAUUGAGUCCACUGAAUGCACAGUCCCCCUUAAGGAAAUUAUUCCCCUCUAGUACCCGAGGUUUAAAGGAAUAGAUCCUCUCAGGAUAGAAUAAUUCUAUUCACCAUUGUAUUGAUACAAAAACAAUGGUGUCAGUGAGUCAUUCAACAGGAGCAAAAUACACAAAUAUUUAAUUGUUUAGAAGAAGAAGAAAUUCAAAAUUUUUGUUGUUUAAAAUGAGAGGAAAUUCCUCUAUUUAUAGACAACGAAGGGUAGUGUGAACAAAUGUAUAUUGUGUCUUAUCGAAAUUGUCACAACUCUUUGGAAAAGUUACAAAAGGUCACAACCUUUAUAAAAGUCAUAAUUUUUCAUAAAAGUUGCAAAAUGACUAAAAUAUCCAUAGAAAGAUAUUAGAUAUUUUUAUCGUUUUAAAAAUUAAUUAACUACAUAUUUUUUUAUAUUUUCCUUUUUUUUUUGUAUUUAUUUUCAUUGCACUUAAUAUCAUACGAACUAAAUUUUUUUCUCUUCUUUAUUUAUUAUUUUUCUCCUUUAUUUAUUUUAAAUUCAUUUUCAUGACUCAUGUUUAAUUAUCUAUUAGAUUGUUACUCUUAAUAUUUAUAACUCUUAUUCUUUUCAUAUUCAUAACUUCCAAUUAUUAAGAGAUGCUACCUAUAAAAGUUCCUAAAUACAUUAUUUGUGUUAUAGUCUUUUCUUCAUUCAACCUCAUUUGUUUUAUCCUUUGAGCUUCCAAUUGUAAUUAGUAUUAAUAAGUAUCUAUUACUCAUCUUUCUUAUCUUGCUUGCACUAUAUAAAGGUGUACAAAUGAAUAGUAAAUUAUGAUUCUCUUCUUUCUAUAAUUUUUUUUAUUGUUUUGCAUUUUCCUCAAUACUAUGUGGACAAGUAAAUUUAUUUUCUUUUGUGUUUAAGAGCUUAUAUUUACAAGGUAACAUGUAAUUAAUAUUAUUAUUUACUAUUUGAUUUAUGUUUUAGUUUAACUUGGUGAAGAAGAUUCUUGAAUUUUGAUUGAUUGUAGAAGAAGGUGUUGAUAAGAACUCGGAAUUUAUGUACUGAUUUUGUAUUUUCAUCCAUUUGUAUUAUUAUGAUCAAAGUCUUAAGAAGGGUGUGUAUGUUGUAUUUUUUCUUUUAUGUUUUUAUUUGUUUUUCUCAUUAUUAGACUUCUUUAAUUUGAUUUUCUAUGAAUUUUCGAAUGUCGUAAUUCUGUAAUUUUAAUCAUUUUAUCGAUCUAUAAAAAAUUACAUGGGAUAAACAUGCAAAUCACGUAUCCAGAAACUUGUUUGAUAUAAGAAUAUGUAAGACUCAGCAUACUAUGAGACAUGAGUGCUUAUAUGAAUAGAUUCAUAUUAGGAGGCUGAUAUUCAUAGCCUUAUAGAGUAAGAUAAAGAUCAAUGGGCUAAAGUUUCUGCCUCUUAUUCUGGGAAGUGAACAUAGAUAUGAAUUUAUGAUCUGAAGCGUUUGAGCAUAGGUCAUGGACAUAAUGCCAAUAUGUGAGAAAUCAACAAGGUGUUGUAACGAGUUAACUUUGAGGAAUACGCUAGACUAUGAAUGGAUUGAUAUACCACCAUAACUUUUUCUGAACACAUCAUUAUAUGAUUAUCAACGCUUGACUUGGUUCCUUACCUUAUCAUCUCCCCCUUAGGUCAGAAGCUGACACCCUAAGGCUAUGGACCUAUUACAUAUUCUCUAUACUAGUCUAUAUUCACUUUACUCUAACAUUCGAAAAAAUGCUAAUCACAUGUCUAUUAAACUCUCCAUGCGCAGGUACUAAGAUUCCUUUUAGGGCUUCUUUCUGAGCUGCUUCUCUUAACUUAUUCUUGCUUCUAUAGAAGUCUUUUGAUAAUCGUUACCCGCAUUGGAUUAUAAUUUUAUCUAACUCUUAAUUAAUAGUCUGACGUCUCCUUCUUAGCCUACUAAUACCGUCCUUCUAAGUUCAUAUCUAUCUAACUAGAGAAAACUUGAAUUGUAUUUAAUUAAGAGGCUCGUCAUUGUCUAUGUAUGAUUCUUUCGACCAAACUCUUAAGGGUAAUAAAGAAUGCUUGCAUCAGUCUACUCCACAUUGACAGCUCAAAUAUAUUAUCUAGGCACACAUAGAAAAUCAUAAACUUAAUUAAAGUCUCAUCUAACUAUAUAUGAUCUUGGGUACACAUCUUAGUGCUCUUGUUUAUCCAAUGACGUAGCCACACUUCAUUACUCUCGUCUAAGGGUCAUAAUACCACACUUGUACCACUCACAUUUAAUGCAAAUUAACACCUUAAUUCCUCACUUACUCUAUGUCAAAAGCCUACUAGAUCAAAUCUCAAAACUAACAUCAUUACCCCCCAUAUUGCCAUUCUUUUUAUCACUAUACUCAUCUCAAAUUCAAGCUUAGUGUCCAGUACUAAACAUGGAUAUCAAUGUCAUUGUUCACAUACUAUACUAACUUAUGACUACUGGAUAAAAUUAAGACACAGUCGCCGACUAAGACCUCAUGACAAGUAAUCAAUCUUUAUCCCCUAGUCUACCUAGUUACAGUUUAUCGCCACAUCCCUUUCACAACCUAAGUACUAUUUACCCCCUUCACUAUACAUUAUUGCCUAAUUAGUUCCAUAAUCCUAUUAAUAUCAUGAGGCUCUCCUUUCAAAAUCAUAAGUCUAGCUUAGAUCUAUUUCCUCAUGACUAUUUGUCCUUCAAACAUAUACUUGGUCUUCGCUAUCACAAUUACAUCAAAUUAAAAUUUAAAAUUUUGACUGCAAAAAAAGCGAAAGAAGCAAUCCAUAGAAAGAUUUGACGCUCUGAAACUUCAAGUUAACCUUCAUGGCUGAAUUCAAAUUAAUUUGUGCUAACUUAUUGAAUAUUUUUUUUCUUCUCUUCAAUGUUACAAAACACAUCUUCAAAAAAUUGAGAAGCCAUGCUCAUCAUUUUUUCCUAUAGAUUCCCCAAACGAGGAAACUUAAAAAGAACAGAAACGUAUCUAUUAUUAAAAGAUUAAAUUUGAACAUAAUUAAUUUAAAAUUUCUUAUUUUACCAUUAAUAAUAUAAUUUUAUACCACAUUGAUAUCACGAAAAUUUAAAAAUCCCAAAUCCCAAAUAUCUUUGGUUUAAAUGUGGCACCUAGCCAAACAUGUUUUUAUAAAUAAUCUUCAUUUAUUUUUGAAAGGUAUAAAAAUCGGCCAAAACUAUGUAGCCCAAGUAAAUGAACGGUAGUUAAAAAAAAAAAAAAAAGGUCAUUCGCACAAAUGCCAAUUUGAUGUGACAUUUUGAUAUUUUUUUCCUCUCAAAUGCAUUGUCUUUAAUUUUAUUCCUAUUGCUUAUUUAAUGAAAAUUUUAUUGGCUAAAAUACCCUUAAAUUUAACUAGACAGAACAUUUUACAUAAUGUUUGUAUACAUUGGAGCAUAAAUUUAUCAUGGGAAUAUUUUUUUAUUUGUUUUUUCGCUGUCAGAGAGAAUAUAUACUUUUCUUUGUUUUUUUUGCCGUCAGAGAGAAUAUAUACUUUUCUUUAUCAUUACCCUCAACUUUAUCAUCUUUCUACUUUAAGACUUUAACAAUAUUCCCAUGAUAACAAUAUUCCUUUACACUGAAUUUUUGAAGCUUUAAAUACUGAAUUCCAUGACAACAAUAUUUAUCUCUUAUCAAACUCUCAAUCUACUAAUUUCCAUACACACUUUACCUUUUACAAAAAAAAUAUUAAUUAAUUUCCAUAUUCCUAAAGAUGGCUGAUGCCGUUGUGUCAUUUGCAGUUCAAAAAUUGGGUGAUUUCCUCAUUCAGGAAGUUAACCUACGUUUAAGUCUAAGAGAGGAUAUGAAGUGGAUGAGAACUGAGCUUCUCUUCAUGCAGUCUUUCCUCAAAGAUACAGAACUAAAACAAUAUGGAGAUCAUACAAUUCAACAAUGGGUAACUGAGAUGAACUCUAUUGCUAAUGACGCUGUUGCUAUACUCGAGACUUACAGUUUAGAGGCUGGUAAAGGUGCUAGUCGUCUCAAGGCGUGCGCUUGCAUAUGUAGGAAGGAGAAGAAAUUCUACAAUGUCGCCAAGGAGAUUCAAUCACUCAAGCAACGAAUCAUGGAUAUCUCUCGUAAAAGAGAUACUUAUAGUAUUACAAAUAUCAAUAGUAAUGCUGGAGAAGGAACAAGUAAUCAGGUUACAACACUGAGGAGAACUACCUCAUAUGUGGAUGACCAGGAUUACAUUUUUGUUGGACUUCAGGAUGUUGUAGAAUCAUUGCUAGCUGAACUUCUCAAAGCAGAGCCUCGUCGAAACGUCCUCUCCAUUCAUGGGAUGGGUGGAUUGGGCAAGACCACUCUUGCCAGAAACCUCUACAACAGUCCUAAUAUAGUCUCAAGCUUCCCUACUCGCACUUGGAUAUGUGUUUCUCAAGAGUACAACACAAUGGAUCUUUUUAAGACUAUCAUAAAAUCCAUCCAAGGUUGCGCCAAGGAAACUCUAGAUUUGUUGGAAAAGAUGGCAGAAACAGAUCUAGAAAAUCACCUUCGUGAUCUAUUAGAAGGAUGCAAAUACCUUGUGGUGGUUGAUGAUGUGUGGCAGAAAGAAGCAUGGGAGAGUUUGAAAAGAGCAUUUCCGGAUAGAAAUAAUGGCAGCAGAGUUAUUAUCACCACGCGCAACCAGGAUGUCGCUGAAAGAGCAAACAACAGAGGUUUUGUCCAUAAACUUCGUUUCCUAAAACAAGAAGAAAGUUGGGAUCUCUUUUGUAGGAAACUACUUGAUGUUCGAGCAAUGGUUCCAGCAAUGGAAAGUCUAGCUAAGGAUAUGGUGGAAAAAUGUAGAGGCUUACCUCUUGCAAUUGUUGUAUUGAGUGGACUACUUUCGCAUAGAUGGGGGCUAGACAAAUGGCAAAACGUGAAAGACUGCCUUUGGAAGGACAUUGAAGAAGACUCUAUUGAAAUCUCCUACAUACUAUCAUUAAGCUUCAACGAUUUGUCAGCUGCGCUCAAGAAGUGUUUUCUCUACUUUGGUGUUUUUCCAGAAGAUCAAGUGAUCGAUGCUGACGACAUAAUGCGGUUGUGGAUGACAGAGGGUUUCAUCAUACCAAGAGGAGAAGAAAGAAUGGAGGAUGUCGCUGAAGGCUUCUUGAAUGAGCUGAUAAGACGAAGCUUGGUUCAAGUAGCUCAAACAUUUUGGGAAAAAGUUACUGUAUGUAGGGUUCAUGAUUUACUUCGUGAUCUUGCCAUACAAAAGGCAUUGGAGGUAAACUUCUUUGACAUUUAUGAUCCAAGAAAGAACUUGAAAUCCACUUCAUGUAUAAGACAUGCCAUUCAUAGUGAAGGAGAAAGGUACCUCUCAUCACUUGAUCUUUCUAACUCGAAGUUGAGGUCAAUUAUGUUCUUUGAUCCACAUAUUUGUAAUGUGUUCCAACAUAUAGAUGUGUUCCGACAUAUAUAUGUGUUGUACUUGGAUAUUGAUUAUGGUAAAGUUAUACCUGAUGCCAUAGGGAGUUUGUACAACCUCAAGUUGUUACGCUUGAGUGUUGUCAGUAAAAUUCCCUCCUCCAUCGGCAACCUCAAGAAUCUACAGACACUUGUUGUUGUCAAUAUGGACAGACGCUUUUGCCAACUACCCCCCGAAACAGCUGACCUAAUAAAUUUAAGACAUUUAGUUGUUCCAUAUUCUAUACCUCUGGCAGGUAUAAGCAAACUCACUAGUCUUCAAGUUCUUCGCCUUGAUUGUGAUCAGUGGAAAGAAGUUGACCCAGUUGAUUUAGUCAAUCUUCGAGAAUUAGAGAUGCGUAAUAUAUACAAAUCUUACUCCCUAAACAACAUUAGCAGCUUGAAAAACCUUAACACUCUCAAAUUGUGUAUUUUGCUUGGUCCACAAUCUACAUAUCCAUUCCCAUCCCUUGAAUUUGUUAAUAGUUGUGAAAAGCUCCAGAAAUUGUUGUUAGGUGGGAGAUUAGAGAAACUGCCUGUGUUUCCAGAUUCCAUCACAAUGAUAUUUCUUUGGGAGUCAAGACUGACAAAAGAUCCGAUGCCUAUUUUGGGAAUGUUACCAAACCUAAGGAAUCUCGAAUUAGAAGCAGCUUAUGAAGGAGAAGAAAUAAUGUGCAGUGAUUACAGCUUCAGUCAACUAGAGCUCCUUCAUCUUUAUGGUCUUGACAACUUAGAAAGAUGGCAUUUAGGCACAAAUGCCAUGCCUCUCAUUAAAGAUCUUGUUAUCCAUCAUUGUCCAAAGCUGAGGGAGAUUCCAGAGAGAAUGAAAGACGUGAAGCAUUUCAAACGUAUAUGAAGUCUUAUAUGAUAAUAGGAAAGGUAAAUAUACAAACACAUCCCAAUCCUUCAUUUUUUUUCUUUUUUAUAUAAAUAAUAAUAUUUUUGUUAAAACAGGAGAUGAAGACAUUCAAGUUGAUGAAGAUGGGUUGUCCAAGCAUCAAUCAAGCUUCCGUCACUUUACUGAUUUUGUGAUUCUAGGCAAAAAUGAGGAUUUUUUUGGUUUUUGGCUUCUUUUUUUUUUUUUAGUGUGUGGAAUUGGUUGGAAGAGAUUUUUUUUUUGGGGGAAGUGGGGGUGGNNNNNNNNNNNNNNNNNNNNNNNNNNNNNNNNNNNNNNNNNNNNNNNNNNNNNNNNNNNNNNNNNNNNNNNNNNNNNNNNNNNNNNNNNNNNNNNNNNNNGGGAUCACCCCCGACGAAAAAUCCACGAUGAUCUCCUCGAUCUUCUCUUCUUCUUCUCCUUCUUCUCUUCUUCUUCUCUUCUUCUUCUCCUUCUUCUCUNNNNUCCUCGAUUUCCUCUUCUUCUCUUCUUCUUCUCUUCUUCUUCUCAAGCCCUAGCCUUCACUCUCUUAAAAUGGAACAAAAUGAUCCAAGUAUCAGCCUUACUCAACAAUAUAACCUCAAAAGAAAUAGCCAGGGAAAAGACCAAAAUGCCCUUAAUUUUCCGGAGAGAUUUCCCUGCCAACAGCCCAACUUCUAAAGGGCACAACUCGCUCAUACGAACUCGGAAUUGAGCAAACUCGGCGGUAUUGGAAAUAUCAUUCCACAAGCUUCACAACCAUAACUAGAACUACUCCUAACUCAUCCUGAGAUGGAAGUUAUGACUGCUCAAAGUUGGCCAAAAAUUCAUUUUUUUCACACUUAGCCAAAUUUCCAAAAUUUUAAAUUCUUUCCAAAAAUGACUAUUUUUGAUUUUUAAGCCGCUUCAUAGUUAUUUCAUCUUACCGGAUGUUACAAUAUCUCCCCCUUGGGAACAUUCGUCCUCGAAUGAGGUUACUCUUACAAGGCUAAGGGUGCAACAACAACUCAAACACCCAACAAGCAACUAUACAAACACAACAACAACCACAACAUGCUCAUUAUAAUUAAAAGAGCACUAAAAAGGAAAUUAAUACCUUAAUCUGCAUUUCCUUCGGAUUCAAAGAGAUGUGGAUAUCUCUUCUUCAUGUCUUCUUCGGCUUUCCCCAAAGUGGCUUCCUCAACAAAUUGGUUCCUCCAUAGGACCUUGACUGAGGCUACUUCUUUCGUUCUCAACCUACGAACUUGACGAUCUAAAAUCUGAACAGGAACCUCCUCAUAAGAUAAGUUAUCCUUGAUCUUAAAACUUUCAGUCGGUAGGAUAAAAUGAAGGAUCGCCUAUGCACUUCUUCAACAUGGAGAUGUGAAAUAUUGGAUGAACCGCUUCUAGUUCCUGUACUUUGGUAUUUGUCAACUGCGCUCAAGCAGUGUUUCCUGUACUUUGGUAUUUUUCCAGAAUAUCACGUGGUCCAUUUGAUCACAUAUUAUGGUUGUGGAUGGCUGAAGGAUUUGUACCAACAGGAAAAGAAAUAAUGGAGGAUGUUGUUGAAGGCUUCUUCAAUGAGUUGAUAAGACGAAGCUUGAUACAAGUGGUACACACAUUUUGGGAAAAAGUUGGUAAAUGUAGGAUUCAUGAUCUGCUUCACGAUCUUGCCGUACAAAAAGCAUUGGAGGUAAACUUUUUUGACAUUUAUGAUCCAAGAAAGCACUCCAUAUCCUCCUUGUGUCUUAAACAUGCCAUUCAUAGUCAAGGAAAAAGGUAUCUCUCACUCAAUCUUUCUAACUUGAAGGUUAGGUCACUUAUGUUCCUUGAUACGGAUAUUUUAAAGAUGGGUCUUAUAAAGUUCCAUAAUGUGUUCCAACAUCUAUAUGUGUUGUACUUGGAGAUUCAUGUUGACAAUAUGUGUAUACUGUAUAGUACCUGAUGCCAUAGGAGGUUUGUACCACCUCAAGUUCUUAAGAUUGAGAGGUAUCCAUGAUCUUCCCUCUUCCAUUGGCAAGCUCAAGAAUUUAUAGACACUUCUUGUCAAUGACUAUGGAUACUUUUGCAACUACCCCGCGAGACAGCUGACCUGAUAAAUCUAAGACAUUUAGUUGCUUCGUAUUCAAAACCUCUGAAACGUAUAAGCAAACUCACUAGUCUUCAAGUUCUUAAAGGCAUCCAUUGUGAUCAGUGGAAAGAUGUUGACCCUGUUGAUUUAGUCAAUCUUCGAGAAUUAAGCAUGCAUGAGAUUACCAAAACUUACUCACUAAACAACAUUAGCAGCUUGAAAAACCUUAGCACUCUAAAAUUGUGCUGUGUAGCUUAUGUAUCAUUCCCAAACCUUGAAUAUCUUAGUUCUUGUCAAAACCUUCAGAAAUUGUGGUUGGAGGGGCAAAUAGAAAAACUGCCUCUCUCAUAGCAGUUUCUGAAUUCCAUCGCCAUGAUGGUCCUUCGGUACUCAGAACUCAUGGAAGAUCCCAUGUCUACUCUAGGGAUGCUCCCAAAUCUAAGGAAUCUCGAUUUUGUUUAGAGCUUACGGAGGAAAAGAAAUUACCUGCAGUGAUAACAGCUUCAGCCAACUGGAGAUCCUUCGUCUUGAUUGUCUUGAGAACUUAGAAAGAUGGGUUUUAGCCAGAAGUGGCAUGCCUCUGAUUAAAGGUCUUGGUAUCCAGCGUUGUCCAAAGCUACAUGAGAUUCCUGAUAGAAUCAAAGACGUGGAGAGAACUCCUUUUCAAUGAAGCUUUUCAAGCAUAUAUGAUGUCCUAUUUCAGCUCUUUCAUAAUCGUAGAGGUAAUAAAUCCCAAUCCCCAAUGAUCAUUUCUUAAAUUCCUUUUAAUUACUCACUCUGCCGCAGAUUUGUUAGUAUAAUGUUUAAUUUUUAUACUAUGACAGUACAAUUUUUUUUACAUUAUCACCAUACUAAAAGAAGUCAACUAUAAACAAUUGUCUAUUAGUAAAUCACUUAUGCAUGAGAUUUUGUCUUGUAUCACAAAUUCACAACAACAACAUACCCGGUACUGUAUUCCCACAGAACGAGGUCUGGUGAGGGUAGAGUGUACACAAACCUUACCUCCACCUCAAAGAUGAGGUAGAGAGAUUAUUUCCAAUAAACUCUCAGCUCAAGAUAAAAACAGACUAGAAAAAGACGUAAUGGAAGUAGAAGAGACAAUAGGUAGUAACAAAACAACAGAUGAAAGCAAAACAGUACUACAACCAAAUAAUAUUACAAUCGAACUACACGAAACAAUAGAUAUCAAUAAAAUGAUUUUCUUCAUGCCAAAAACACACUGAAUUGUAUUGGUAAUCUAUUAUUUGGUCAACACUUGAUAUUGUCCUGAUCAUUAUGAUUAAUCAUCAAUUUAGGUUAUUGAUAAAUCUUUUGUUCUUUAUUGAAUACUAUUCCUCAUAUUAAAUAGUGUCUUACAAUUUUGGUUGAAUAGGAGAAGCAGCAGCUGGCAGGUGUGGAACUUUUUGCCAAGCAUUUCAAGAGAUUUACAUGGAGCAAGUCGGAUUUUAGAAAUAAUAAGCAUGUUUCUUUUGUUUUGGCUUUAGGUCAUGUGUUUAAAUUACAACUGUGACAUUCAAGAUUUUUUUUUUAAAAAUCUCCUUGUAUAUAUUUCUUGUUCCGCCACUGCCCACAUUUUGUUUCUUGUCAUAACUAAGUAUUAAAUAAGUAUGAGCUUUUAAGUUCGAGAUUCAGAAAUGAACUUUUUGUAAUUAUUAUCCAAGAAUAUUAUGGUAUAAUAGAUCUUUAUAGAAUUAUAGUCCACAAACAUAUAAUAACUCAAAACAGUGAUGACUAGCAGUGAUGCUUGUGGAAGUCAAUUAAGGAUGGUGUUGACGAAUGGUGGGGUGGGAUUAGUAGCUAGUGGUGAUGGUGUUGGCAGUGGAGGUUGAUGGUGGCCGUUGAUAGUUAAGUUGGAUAAUAGUGAUAAUUAAUGGUAAUGGGGACAAUGAUAGUGAUUGUCAAUAUAUAAUGUCGUGAUUAGUGGUUGUUGUAGACUUGUAGUACUGAUGGUUGGUGAAGAAGAUUAUAAAUGAUAGCUAGUGAGGUGAAGGAGCAUCCAAGUGGUAAGCUUGGCCCCUGGAAGCAGAUUUGGAGGAACAAGGUGCCACCAAGGUAAAGUGUUUCUCCGGGUUGGUUGCCAGAAGAGCAUGCUCCACUCAUGAGAAAUUGAAAAGGAGGGGUUUCUAUAUUGCCUCUUGGUGCUCUCUCUGUAAUGAGACUGAGGAAACCAACAACCAUUUGUUCCUCCAUUGCAAAGUGACAACACAAUUUUGGAACCUUUUUUUGGGACCAACACAUACAAAAUGGAUUAUGCCUGAGCAUACAGCAGAUCUACUUAGUUGCUGGAUCAGCAGAGGGGGGAGAAAAUCUAAGAAAAAGUGGUGGAGUAUAAUACCAUCAUGCAUCUGGUGGUGUAUUUGGAAAGAAAGAAAUAGCAGAUGCUAUGAUAACAAAGCUAAUCUAAUAGAGAAAGUCAAAUGGAACUGCUUGACUACUUUUUAUUUUUGGUGUAAAGAGGAAGGGAUAGACCACUCUUGCGAGAAGCCUAUACAUCAGUCCUAAUAUAGUCAAUAGAUUCCAUACAUGAGCUUGGAUAUGUGUUUCUCAAGAGUACAACACCAUGGAUCUCCUUAGGAAUAACAUAAAAUCCAUCAAAGGUUGCACCAAGGAAAAAGGAAACUCUAAAUUUGUUGGAAAAGAUGACGGAAAGAGAUCUAGAAAUUUACCUUCGUGAUCUUUUAAAAGAACCCAAAUACCUUGUGGUGGUCGAUGAUUUAUGGCAAAGAGAAGCAUGGGAAAGUCUAAAACGAGCAUUUCCGGACAGCAAGAAUGGCAGCAGAGUUGUUAUUACCACGCGCAAAGAAGAUGUCGCUGAAAGAGCAGAUAACAAAGGUUUUGUCUAUAGACUUUGUUUCCUGAGCCAAGAAGAAAGUUGGGAUCUCUUUUGUAGGAAACUACUAGAUGUUCAGGCAAUGGUCUCAGCAAUGGAAAGGUUAGCUAAGGAUAUGGUGGACAGGUGUGGAGGUUUACCUCUUGCAAUUGUUGUAUUAAGUGGACUACUUUCACAUAAAAAGGGGUUCGAAGAAUGGCAAAAGGUGAAGGUCCACCUUUGGCAGCACAUUAAAGACGACUCUAUUGAAAUCUCCUACAUACUAUCAUUGAGCUACAAUGAUUUGUCAACUGCGCUCAAGCAGUGUUUUCUGUACUUUAGUAUUUUUCCAGAAGAUCGAGUGCUCGAGGCUGAAAACAUAAUACGGUUGUGGAUGGCCGAGGGUUUCAUACCAAGAGGAGAAGAAAGAAUGGAGGAUGUCGCUGAAGGCUUCUUGAAUGAGCUGAUAAGACGAAGCUUGGUUCAAGUAGCUAAAACAUUUUGGGAAAAAGUUACUGAAUGUAGGGUUCAUGAUUUACUUCACGAGCUUGCCAUACAAAAGGCAUUGGAGGUAAACUUCUUUGACAUUUAUGAUCCAAGAAACCACUCCAUAUCCUCCUUAUGUAUCAGACAUGCCAUUCAUGAUCAAGGAGAAAAGUACCUCUUACUUGAUCUUUCUAACUUAAAGUAAAGGUCAAUUAUAUUCUUCGAUCCAAAUUUUCGGAACAUGAAUCUUAUAAACUUCAGUAGUGUGUUCCAACAUAUAUAUGUGUUAUACUUGGAUAUUCUUGGUGGCACUGUACCUUAUGCCAUAGGAAUUUUGUACCACCUCAAGUUCUUAAGCUUGAGAGGUAUUGGUAAUCUUCCCUCCUCCAUUGGCAACCUCAAGAAUUUACAGACACUUUGUGUCAAAAGUGAAUUUAGACAUUUGUGCCAACUAACCCCCGAGACAGCUGACCUAAUAAAUCUAAGACAUUUAGUUGCUCAGUAUUCUGAACCUCUGGUACGUAUAAGCAAACUCACUAGUCUUCAAAUUCUUAAAGACAUCUCUUGUGAUCAGUGGAAAGAUGUUGACCCUAUUAAUUUAGUCAAUCUUCUUGAAUUAAGCAUGAUUGAUAUUACUAAAUCUUACUCCCUAAACAACAUUAGCAGCUUGAAAAACCUUAGCACUCUCAAAUUGUUUUGUAGAGGUGGUCAAUCAUUCCCAGACCUUGAAUUUCUUUAUUAUUGUGAAAAGCUCCACAAAUUGUGGUUAGAUGGGAGAAUAGAGAAACUGCCUCUGUUACCAAAUUCCAUCACAAUGAUGGUUCUUUUGGAUUCAAAAACUUCAUGGAAGAUCCGAUGCCUAUUUUGGGAAUGUUGCCAAACCUAAGAAAACUCGAAUUUCUUAGAGCUUAUCAAGGAAAAGAGAUAUUCUGCAGUUAUAAUAGCUUCCGUCAACUCGAGUUCCUUAGUCUUGCUUGUCUUGAGAACCUAGACACAUGGCAUUUAGCCACAAGUGCCAUGCUUCUGAUUAAAGGUCUUCGUAUUGAUCACUGUAAAAAGCUGAACAAGAUUCCCCAGAGAAUGAAAGACGUGAAGCUUUUCAAGCAUAUGAGAGGUUUUAUUUGAUAAUAGCAAAGGUAAAUAUUCAAACAAAUCUCAAUCCUACAUAACUUUCUUCAUUUUUUUUCUUUUAUAUAAAUUAAUAUUUGUGUUAAACAGGAGAAGAAGUUGUCACUUGAACCAUUCACCUUCAUCAACUUGGGCUCUCAAUUUACUCAUUAUUUCAACAUUCAGUUUUUUUGUUUUAUUUUGGUUUUUCAAUGUUUCAUUUCUCUCUCUUUUUGUCUUUAUUUAGUGCAUGUGUGGAAUUGGUUCAAAGAGAAUUUGUUUUGGGAUUAUCUCACCUAAUACUAUUUGAGUCAUUUGUCUAAUGGUAGGGAUAUAUGUGAGCCACUUUUGUAAUGAGGGGGAUAUCAAUUCUACAUCGCAAAGUUGAGGGGUAGAUCAUACUUUUUCCCCUAAAAAAUAAAUAAAUUAUGCAUUAGCUUUGUGUAUUACUUGUACCUUGUCUGCAGGUAUAUUUUUUCAAUCUAUGUACACAUAAUACACCCUAUAUAUAAUUAAGAUGCGUAUAACAUUGGACUAUGGAUUUUAACUUUGGGUUUGCCCACUAUAUCAACUACCGCUAGUUAACAUAGACUUCAACAACCACAACUCGGCUAGCUCUAGCCACUAACUCAACUCAUAAUGAAAUGAACUGAUGUAAUCUAUUAUCCUUUAUAGCUUAAGAAUAUAUUUACAAUACGCGAGCACAAAAUCCUAUACUCAAAUAACAACUUAAGGCUUUGUGACACUCGAUCAGGUCCCUUGUUGCAUGUGAGAGUAGUUCUUCCUUGGAAAUGAUUUUUGCUUUUGAUAAUCUUGAUUGCAAAAAUUAGGUUGUUUCUUGUCAACAUAUCCAGUGUAUAAGAGAGACAAAACAACCUAAUAGCAUGUUAUUGGUCGAGGACUGCUGUUCUUUCUACGCGUUUAUUACCGUGCUCACCAAUCACUGCAGUUUCUACAGCUUUACAGUUGCACUCCAUUGACUUAUCCUGAAAGACAAAAACUCAAAGGACCUAGUCCCUUUAUCAGAUAUUAUUUCUCUAUAAUUUGUUAAAUCAUCAGAAUUCAAAAAUACAAAAUUUGAUUGGUUCCAUCAUACAUAGUGUUAAAAAAUUAAAGUAGAUUCGAUGUUACUUUCAUUAUCAUGAUGCCUACCACUUCAAGAAAGCAUCAAUCAAGUUUCUGUUACUUUACUGAUUAUUUCAACUUUUUUUUUGUUUUAGUUUUUCAAUGUUUAAUUUCUUUUUUGUUUUUGGCUUCUUUAAGUGUGUGGAAUUGGUUCAAAAGAGAAUUACGAUACACUUUUUCAAUCAAUGUAUAUAUAAUAUUAUAUAUACAUAGUAUUAAGGUGCGCAUACUAUUGGAUGGUGGAUUUUAACAUCGGGGUUGCCAUAUAAGUUGCAAAAAUCGCAUUCACACGCUUAUCUGGCAUGAAUCAUAGAUAAUGUGACAUGUGGACAAACAUUAUUUUAAGUGGCUCAAGGGUUGAGUAGUAGAGGUGGUCGAUAGGUCCUAGUUCUAGCUGAGGCGUCUAGUAAAGUGAACUCUGCGGAAAAUUUUGAAGGACCGCAGGUGACUUAAGCCUAUAUUCCUUGCCUGUUAACUUAAUAGUGAAGAAGAUAAUACAUAUUUCUAGAAGAAGCUUUAAUACAUAUUUCAAAAAAAAUGUACCUUUCACUUAGCUUGUUGCAACUUUAUCCUUUUUUAUAAUGGUAGUAUAAUCGCAAAUUCUUUUUUCAAAAAACACAUGGUCAUGUUUCAUUUUUUAAAAACAUAAAAUGGACCCUUUGAACACAUGACUAUUUAUGUCUGAGUGCAUAUAUCUCUUAUCUCCCAUUUUCUAACUUGUUUUCUAAUAUACUGCUUCCUCUUUUACAGAUAAAAAUCAAUACUCCUAACGAUGGCUGAUGCCUUUCUGUCAUUUGCAGUUCAGAAAUUGGGUGAUUUCCUCAUUCAGGAAGUUAACCUACGUUUAAGUCUAAGAGAGGAUAUACAGUGGCUGUGAAACGAGAUUCUCUUCAUGCAGUCUUUCCUCAAAGAUGCAGAACUAAAACAAUGUGGAGAUCAUAGAAUUCAACAAUGGGUGUUUGAGAUCAACUCUAUUGCUAAUGAUGCUGUUGCUAUGCUCGAGACUUAUAGAUUCGAGGCUGAUAAAGGUGCUAGUCGUCUCAAGGCUGAGAAAUGAGCUACUCUUCAUACAGUCUUUCCUCAGAGAUGCAGAACUAAAGCAAAGUAGAGAUCAAAGAGUUCAACAAUGGGUGUUUGAGAUCAACUCUAUUGCUAAUGAUGCUGUUGCUAUGCUCGAGACUUAUAGAUUCGAGGCUGAUAAAGGUGCUAGUCGUCUCAAGGCUUGCGCUUGCAUUUGUAGGAAGGAGAAGAAACUCUACAAUGUCGCCAAGGAGAUUCAAUCACUCAAGCAAUGAAUCAUGGAUAUCUCUCGCAAACGAGAGACUUAUGGUGUUACAAAUAUCAAUAGUAAUGCAGGAGAAGGGCCAAGUAAUCAGAUUAUAACAUUGAGGAGAACUACCUCAUAUGUGGAUGACCAGGAUUACAUUUUUGUUGGCUUUCAGGAUGUUGUACAAACAUUGCUAGCUCAACUUAUCAAAGCAGAGCCUCGUCGAACCGUCCUCUCCAUUUAUGGCAUGGGCGGAUUAGGCAAGACCACUCUUGCAAGAAACCUCUACACCAGUCCUAAUAUAAUCUCAAGCUUCCCUACACGCGCUUGGAUAUGUGUUUCUCAAGAGUACAACACAAUGGAUCUUCUUAGGAAUAUCAUAAAAUCCAUCCAAGGUCGCACCAAGGAAACUCUAGAUUUGUUGGAAAGGAUGACAGAAGGAGAUCUAGAAAUUUAUCUUCGUGAUCUACUAAAAGAACGCAAAUACCUUGUGGUGGUUGAUGAUGUAUGGCAGAAAGAAGCAUGGGAGAGUUUGAAAAGAGCAUUCCCGGAUAGCAAGAAUGGCAGCAGAGUCAUUAUUACCACGCGCAAAGAGGAAGUCGCUGAAAGAGCAGACAACAUAAGUUUUGUUCAUAAACUUCGUUUCCUAAGUCAAGAAGAAAGUUGGGAUCUCUUUUGUAGGAAACUACUUGAUGUUCGAGCAAUGAUUCCAGCAAUGGAAAGUCUAGCUAAGGAUAUGGUGGAAAAGUGUAGAGGCUUACCUCUUGCAAUUGUUGUAUUGAGCGGACUACUUUCGCAUAAAAAGGGGCUAAACGAAUGGCAAAAGGUGAAAGACUGCCUUUGGAAGAACAUUAUUGAAGAUAAAUCUAUUGAAAUCUUCAGCAUACUAUCAUUAAGCUUCAAUGAUUUGUCAGUUGCGCUCAAGCAGUGUUUUCUGUACAUUGGUAUUUUUCCAGAAGAUCAAGUGAUCGAUGCUGAAGACAUAAUACGUUUGUGGAUGGCAGAGGGUUUCAUCAUACCCAGAGGAGAAGAAAGAAUGGAGGAUGUCGCUGAAGACUUCUUGAAUGAGCUGAUAAGACGAAGCUUGGUUCAAGUGGCAAAAAUAUUUUUGGAAAAAGUGUAGGGUUCAUGAUUUACUCCGUGAUCUUGCCAUACAAAAGGCAUCCGACACAAACCUCUUUGACAUUUAUCAUCCAAGAAGGCACUCCAAAUCCUCUUCAUGUAUCAGACUUUCCAUUCAUAGUCAAGGAGAAAGGUAUCACUCACUUGAUCUUUCUACUUUGAAGUUGAGGUCAAUUAUGUUCUUCGAUCCAGUUUUUCCUAAUGUGUCCCAACAUAUAUAUUUGUUUCGACAUAUAUAUGUGUUGUACUUGCAUAUGGAUUAUGGUGGUGUUCUACCUGAUGCCAUAGGGAGUUUGUACCACCUCAAGUUGUUAAGCAUUAGAUCAGGUGUCUGUAAUAUUCCCUCCUCCAUUGGCAACCUCAAGAAUUUACAGACACUUGUCAUUGUAAAUGGGUACGCAUCAUUUUGCCGACUAUCCCGCAAGAUAGCUGACCUAAUAAAUCUAAGACAUUUAGUUGUUCAAUAUUCAGAGCCUCUGAAAUGUAUAAACAAACUCACGAGUCUUCAAGUUCUUAAAGGCAUUCGUUGUGAUCAGUGGAAAGAUAUUGACCAUGUUGAUUUAGUCAAUCUUCGAGAAUUAAGCAUGGAUCGUAUCAGGAGCUCUUACUCCCUAAACAACAUUAGCAGCUUGAAAAACCUUAGCACUCUCAGAUUGUCUUGUCAAGAUUAUGAUGAAUCAUUCCCAUCCCUUGAAUUUGUUAAUUGUUGUGAAAAGCUCCAGAAAUUGUGGUUAAAAAGGGAGAAUAGAGAAACUGCCUAAUCUGUUUCCAAAGUCCAUCACAAUGAUGGUUUUGAGGAACUCGGGACUGACAGAAGAUUCGAUGCCUAUUUUGGGAAUGUUGCCAAACCUAAGGAAUCUCAAACUAGAAGAUGUUUAUGAAGGAAAAGAAAUAAUGUGCAGCGAUAACAGUUUUAGUCAACUCAAGUUCCUUAAUCUUGAUCAUCUUCAAAACCUAGAAAGAUGGGAUUCAGGCACAAGUGCAAUGCCUCUCAUUAAAGCUCUUCAUAUCUAUGAAUGUCCAAACCUGAAGGAGAUACCAGAGAGGAUGAUUGACUUGAAGAAGCUUGAAGAGACCAAGUUUUUUUUGUACAAAUAGUGUGUUAAUAUUUGGGUUAAACAGGAGAAGAAGUUGGCAUGAAUCAAGUUGGAUUAUUUCAACAUUCAUUUUUUUUUGUUUGAAUAAAAUCAAUAUUAUUUUAUAAAGCAUAUAAUAAAUUAUUAUCAUAGCAAUUAACUAUCAUGUUUAGUUUUUCGGAGCACUUUUAAUAUUUGAUUAUAAAAUAGUGUCGGCUAUAAUGCUUAGGAUCGAAGAGAGUUGAUCAGCAUUCGGCAUUUUUUGAUGCUAUUUUAUAAAGCACAUGUGAUUAUACCGUUUAAGCUAUUUUUUGCACCUAUUAAAUAAAUUCGGAGAUUAUCAUUCAAAUGAAGUUAGCAAAUUAAAUAGAAAAAUCUAGACUUAAUAAGAAUGUACCUGAAAAUUAGAAGACACACUUUUGUACUAGCUUAACGACAGAAGCAUAUAUUGAAUGACUGAUAUUAGGUACAGUAAAACCUCACUAAAUUAAUACUCAAUAAAUUAAUAAUCUCUCUAAGAUAAUAUUUUUUUUGGGUCCCGGCUUGGGCCAAUAGAAAAAAUCACUUAUUUCGAUAAGUUAAUAUGAUAAUAUAUUUUCAACAAACCCCUAUAUAAAUAUAUGGUCCCAUCAAUAUUAUAAAUUAAUAAUUCCUUAAAAGUACAAAUAUAUCUAAGACGAUUUAGUGAAAUGUGAUUCUAUUGUGUUUUUUUUUUNNNNNNNNNNNNNNNNNNNNNNNNNNNNNNNNNNNNNNNNNNNNNNNNNNNNNNNNNNNNNNNNNNNNNNNNNNNNNNNNNNNNNNNNNNNNNNNNNNNNNNNNNNNNNNNNNNNNNNNNNNNNNNNNNNNNNNNNNNNNNNNNNNNNNNNNNNNNNNNNNNNNNNNNNNNNNNNNNNNNNNNNNNNNNNNNNNNNNNNNNNNNNNNNNNNNNNNNNNNNNNNNNNNNNNNNNNNNNNNNNNNNNNNNNNNNNNNNNNNNNNNNNNNNNNNNNNNNNNNAAUAGGACCUUAGUAAAGGUUAGGUGUGUCUUAGGGAUUUUGGCAUAGGCUGAGGGGGUACUUAUGCAUUUUCCCAAAUUUAAUUCUAGUUGAAGGUCAUCUUUAACUUUUCUUAUUACAUCAAAAAGUUCUGGUGUUGUUUUUUCGAACGACACCAUAAAAUUGUGAAUAGUUCUAGAUGCGAUAAGUGUUUUCUUACGCGUAACUGGUUGCAAAGGUAUUAUAUCAUCUUCAACUUCAUCAUCCACGUUGUUUUUUUAUGGUAUCCACAAUUUCUUCUAACUAAUGGACUCUGAACAUGUAUCACUUUCAUCCAGGUAAUCCAAAAGGUUAUUGAUGUUAAUUUUUUUGCGGUAACGGGGAUCAUUGAUCAUGGCCUCAAAUUCAUGAAUGACGUUUUCACAAAACACUCUUUAAAUUAAUAAAUAUUAAUUUAUUGAUUAAAUAAACCUCUACAAAAUAAUAAUAUUUCAUUGGCCCACCUAUAUUAAUUUAGUGUGAUUUUAUUAUAUGUUUAUACAGUGUAGUCUUGAAGAUUUGAUGGUAAAAACUCUUUCGUAUUCCUCAAUCACUUAAUUUGAUUCCUUUCAAGUUUUCAACUAUUAAAGUAGGUUCUCAUUUACUCCCCUAUUAUGUUAAUUUAAAUAUUAUUAUUUAAUUAGAUAUUUAAUUUAUGUUUAGAGUAAUUAUUUUAUUACAUUUUAAUUUAGUAUAGGAUCAAAAUGGUAAUCUAAUUUUACACGUGAUAGAUUUUCACUUUUGAUAAUAUAUGAUGAUGAUAAUUUAAUUAAGAUAUAUCUCUAUAAUUUCGAUCAUAGUCUAGGGGUAGUUGUCUCUUAUCCCAAUUUUAAUCACAUAAGUGGACACACUAUAUACUCUCACAUUUAUGUCUUACUACUUCUGAGUGUAUUCCAAUAUACACCCCCCACCCCCCUCUUAUUUUCAAUCAAAAGUAGUAUUCCUGAAGAUGGCUGAUGCCUUUCUGUCAUUUGUAGUUCAAAAAUUGGGUGAUCUUCUAAUACAGGAAGUUUCCAUGCUUACAAGUCUGAGAGAUGAAGUUAAAUGGCUGAAGAAUGAGCUACUCUUCAUGCAGUCUUUCCUCAAAGAUGCAAAACAAAAGCAAUGUGGAGAUCAAAGAGUUCAACAAUGGGUGUUUGAGAUCAACUCUAUUGCUAAUGACGUUGUUGGUAUACUCAAGACUUAUAACUUCGAGGUUGGUAAAAGUGAUGACAUUGGAUUUGCUAGUUGUCUCAAGAAAUAUAUUCUACAAUGUCGCCAAGAUGCCAAGGAGAUCCAAUCACUCAAGCAACGAAUCAUGGAUAUUUCUCGCAAACGAGAGACUUAUGGUAUUACAAAUAUCGAUAAUAAUGCUGGAGAAGGUCCAAGCAAUCAGCCUUCCAUGGUUACAACAUUGAGGAGAACUAACUCCUAUGUGGAUGAUCAGGGUGACAUUUUUGUUGGAUUUCAGGAUGUUGUAGAAAGAUUGUUGAAAAUUGUUUUUAGUUACUGCAGUAGACUUUAGUAUAAGAAGUUGCUAGGUUUAAGAUUUUUGAAUUUUAAAUUAUGCAGAUUUUGUGUUUAAGUUGGUUACUUCCAGUUGUUUUUUUUUCUCAAAUCUCUCAAGGUAGAGAUAAAAUAUGGGUACAUACUACCUUUCUCAGAUCCC